AAAUCAUUUUAAAGCAUAUAUGCUUAAAAAUAUUCAACAUCUUGAAAAUAACAAUACAUGCAUUGUCAAGUGCCAAUAUAAAUAUUGUUGACGAUGCAUUGGGUAUCAUCACCCUUCAACAUCAACAUCGCACUGACCGAACUGAUAAAUCCAUUCUCAUGUGAAAAUGAAGUGGCAAGAUGCCCACACUAGGAGAAAAUAUCUAGUAGUACGUACUACUACGAGUAGCGUGCACACACAGCCGUUACCUUAGAGGUACAGCACAAGAGUGGCAAUUGCACAUUGAUCCUUAUUCCCAAUUUUUACCAUCUUCAGACCAGAACACUAUGCCCAACAGGUACUGACAAUUAACAUACACCUUCCCUUCGCCCCCCUCACAUUACUACGAAUUUACAAGCAAGCAUGUAUCACUCUUUGGGUUUGUUGCUGUCAGGGGCGGCGGUCGCUUCGGGUUGAGGUGGUGCGCCGGCGACGUCGCCGGUCAUCAUCUUCUUGAACUCGUCGAAGCCGACGCAGCCGUCGCCGUCGACGUCGACGGAGGCGAUCAUCUUCUCGCAGUCCUCGGUGCUGCACCCCUCGCCGAUGCGGCUGAGGACCUUGCUGAGCUCGGCGACGGAGAUGCGGCCGUCGCCGUUGAUGUCGUAGAUGUCGAAGGCGUCGCGCAGCUCGGCGUCCAGCUCGCGCUCCCCGCGGCCGCGGCCGUGGAAGGCGGCGAACUCGCCGAGGUCCACGUAGCCGUCGCGGUCGGUGUCGAGCUCGUCCAUCAUGGACGCCACCUCCCGCCCCUGCGCGGACUCGGUGGCCGGCGGCGCGAUGGCGCGGGAGACGGCCGCCAGCUCCGACGGCGAGAUCCGGCCGUCGCCGUCCGUGUCGAAGCGGGAGAAGACCUUCUUGAUCUCGAUGUCCUCCGCCGCCGCCGGCUUCUUCGCCUGCUGCUGCUGCUGCUGCUUCCCGCCGCCGCUCGACAUGGCCCAAGACUUGAGACUCGACGGUCGCGGCGAGCUAGCUGAGCUUCAAAGCUUGAGGUGGCUGGUUGUAGUGAUGGAGAUGGGGGAGCUUGAACUUGAAUGUUCCGAUGGGUGGAGGUUGCAGUGGGCUCUCUCUGGGGUAUUAAUACCGGCGGGCACGCGCUACGGACGACGGAGCGCACCGACCAUCCUCCCUCCUUCGGGAUAAAGAAGUGGAGGAGUAACUCCGCCGCGGGGAGGCGGAGUCAUAUCAGUACGCGGCGAGCGCGUUGUCUUCUCUUCUCCCGGUUGCGUGGGGCGGCGCGUCGGCCAGGCGUGGCUUCGCGGCGAUGGGCAAGCGUACGGCCGGAUGCGCGCGAUGCGAAUCUCGGGGCUGAGGGAGGACUUUUCCGCGUCCCGCCGGGCGGGCAGCUUCCUCGGUGCUCGAGAGAAGUCAGCAGCUCGCGUGAAUCACCGGCCACGUCUGCGUCUGUCGCGGGCCGGUUUAUUUAUUCCUUUGCCGGCCUGGUUCGUGGAACUUGUCGCCGUGAGCGGCUACGGUGUGUGGCCGAGGGAUGGACACAUGACGCGGCGGGCGUGGACGGAGCGAAGUAUCCCCACCCAUGUGAGGUCGUCGUUGCUCGCGGCGUCCCAUCCUUUGCCUUCUUGGCGUGUAACUUUUCAGAAUAAAGCUUCACUUUUCACAACAAAGGUUCGUGCAGGGUAUCAUGGCCACCACUCGCUUUUUCACUGCGCUCGUGAUUUUAUUAGUGUGGGGGUACAUAUAGGUUAAUUUACGGAAAUACUGUCUGGCGAACGUUCGCUGGGACCCAACCCUGGCGAACGCUCUCUCCGCCGUUGCACGGAUCUUGACGCGCCCCCUGGUCCUAUAGGAUUGCUAAAGUCGUUCGCUAUCAGCUGACCCCUGGCGGACGUGCUUUGCUCUUUCCAAAAAUUACAAGGCCGUGCGACCCCCGUGGCAUGAAGGGUGUGCACACUCAAAAAAAUAUCUGCACAAUCCAAAUGUCAUAAUAUGAUACUAGGCAAAAGCAUAACAUAAAUAGGCCAAUCAAGUCUCACAACAAAGCGGCAGCGGCAGCGGAGGGGAGGGGAGCGAUGUCGCGAUGGCGUGCACCUAUUGGGCCCUUGAGGGGAGGGGGCAGCGGCGACAAGAGGAAGGGUGUGGCGGCGAGGUGAGGGGAGGGUCUAGUUGAAUGGUGGACGGCCGAUUAAUGUCACCCUCUCUUACAUAGUGGGAGAAAAAUAGACAGUGCGAGAUAUUGGGUUUUUAGGACUGUAGGUUUAUUGGCCGAAAUAGCCAAAUUACAAAUUCUGGGUGAGCCACGACUCACCGGCCCGUCAAUGGUACUAACCCCGUGAUGUACCCACAUAUUUUUUUUUCGAGAAUGAGAUGAACUCACAUAUCAUAAUCCUUGUGUGUCACACGGUCCAAUAAGCCACACAGUGAAUCGUGCUAAAUUGGGAUUGAACCGGCAACUCCUUCCUAGUGGGCGGUCGGCUUACCACUAGACUAUAAAUAGAGUGUUGUCAACAUUUUGCGACCAAAACUCUUUAUAUGUUUUCUAAACUAAAUUUGUCCACAAAUUCAACUUUUAAUUUUAAAAAGUUUGAAAAUCCGAAUUUUUUACAAUUUUAAAGAACAAAAAUCCCUUUUUCAAAGGGAAUUUUUUUCUAUCUUUCCACCUGCAUUUUUUAUUUAUAGGUACCAUGCCACUUUUAUUAUAGGCCACAUGGAAGUUUUUUAUUAAUAAGAAAUUUGUAAUUUAAUAAGUAACAAGAUGCCAUUUUUACCAUUAAGAGGAUGGAUUUUAUUAUUAAGAGCAUGUCAUUUUAUUAUUAAUAACAUGGCAUUUUUAUUACUAGAAAUAUAGCAUUUUCAUUAUUAAUUAGAUGUUAGUUUUAUUAUAGGGGACAUGGCAUUUUCAUUAUUUGCUGACAAGUCAUUUAUAUUAUCAGGAGGAUGGUAGUUUAAUUAUUAACAGGAUAAAAGUUUUAUUAUAUAGAGCAUGCCAUUUUUGUUAUUAUUAACAUGACAUUUUUAUUAUAGGAGGAUUACAAUUUUAUUAUAUAGAGCAUACAUUUUUUAUUAUUGUUGACAUGUCAUUUUUAUUGUUAGGAGGAUGACAUUUUUUGGACUGGCAUUUUUUAUUAAUUGUUAACAGAAUGACGGUUUUAUUAUUAGGAGGACGGUGGUUUUUAUUUUUAUUGACAUGCCAUUUUUGUCCUUGAUAUGACAUUUUUUAAUAUUUUUUGCACAGUGGAACAAAUCAAGCAAAAAAUUACAUCAUGGCAUUUCUUUGGUCAUUGACAAAGAUAAAGGAAAAAAACGCUCUCGCAAACAUGUUUUUUACUGCGAAACAUCUACACGGUGGAAUUCAUACCAUUCGUAAAAUUAUAGAUUAUCAUGGCAUUUUUUGUAAAGUAACAUGCCAUUUUUCGUAUUAUUUAUAUCAUGGCAAUUAUAUAUUUUAUGUGUACUUUGUUUUUAUAAGAAAAUAUGUACUUUUUCAUUAAAAAAGGUAAUCUGGGCAUUUUGGGCCAAUGGAGGUUCGCAUUGGCCUUUCCCUAUCGACCGAUUGAGGGGAGGGCGUUACAUUCGCUGGGACUGCCCCCUUGGCGACCACUUCGUUCGAUCAACCCUCCUCCCUGGCGAUCGAAUGCCAGUUAUUUGGGUCCUUUAUUUAUAGGUAGUGUAGGGAAAAGAAUAGCAAGCGAACACUCGCAAGCCGGCAAAUAGGGGAACUGGGGAAGGAAGAACCAAUGCGAGGACGAAGAGAAAGAAGUAGGGCGGGAGAGGUAGACUAAAGGUGUAGAGCCCGGAGCUACCCGGUCCAUCUUUUUUGCGAAUUGGUUGGUCAGAAAAUUAGCGUUGAAUAGUUGCCUAGGCGUGUGUGUUUGGAUUAAGUUUUUGUAGAACUUGGGUUGGAUUAUUUGAUUACUACCACAAAGAAAAUAUUAUUUGGUCGCUAGGAAUGGAUCGUUUAUUACAAACUACAUUCUUUUCCCAGAUAAAUUGGAAAAACGACAUAUAGGCCAUACGUUUAGGACUCUUUUUUUAGGGUGUUCAACCCAAACCAGUAUUCAAAUAAAUUGAGCCCAUACUGUGAGAGUCAGUAGUUCCGGUAUAUAUGGCCCAUUAAAAAAGUACAUUUAUAUUAUCAGGAGGAUGGCAGUUUAAUUAUUAACAGGAUAAAAGUUUUAUUAUAUAGAGCAUGCCAUUUUUGUUAUUAUUGACAUGACAUUUUUAUUAUAGGAGGAUUACAAUUUUAUUAUGUAGAGCAUACAUUUUUUAUUAUUGUUGACAUGCCAUUUUUUUUGUUAGGAGGAUGACAUUUUUUGGACUGGCAUUUUUUAUUAAUUGUUAACAGAAUGAUGGUUUUAUUAUUAGGAGGACGGUGGUUUUUAUUUUUAUUGGCAUGCCAUUUUUGUCCUUGAUAUGACAUUUUUUAAUAUUUUUUGCACAGUGGAACCAAUCAAGCAAAAAAUUACAUCAUGGCAUUUUUUUGGUCAUUGACAAAGAUAAAGGAAAAAACGCUCUCGCAAACAUGUUUUUUACUGCGAAACAUCUACACGGUGGAAUUCAUACCAUUCGUAAAAUUAUAUAUUAUCAUGGCAUUUUUUGUAAAGUAACAUGCCAUUUUUCGUAUUAUUUAUAUCAUGGCAAUUAUAUAUUUUAUGUGUACUUUGUUUUUAUAAGAAAAUAUGUACUUUUUCAUGAAAAAAGGUAAUCUGGGCAUUUUGGGCCAAUGGAGGUUCGCAUUGGCCUUUCCCUAUCGACCGAUUGAGGGGAGGGCGUUACAUUCGCUGGGACUGCCCCCUUGGCGACCACUUCGUUCGAUCAACCCUCCUCCCUGGCGAUCGAAUGCCAGUUAUUUGGGUCCUUUAUUUAUAGGUAGUGUAGGGAAAAGAAUAGCAAGCGAACACUCGCAAGCCGGCAAAUAGGGGAACUGGGGAAGGAAGAACCAAUGCGAGGACGAAGAGAAAGAAGUAGGGCGGGAGAGGUAGACUAAAGGUGUAGAGCCCGGAGCUACCCGGUCCAUCUUUUUUGCGAAUUGGUUGGUCAGAAAAUUAGCGUUGAAUAGUUGCCUAGGCGUGUGUGUUUGGAUUAAGUUUUUGUAGAACUUGGGUUGGAUUAUUUGAUUACUACCACAAAGAAAAUAUUAUUUGGUCGCUAGGAAUGGAUCGUUUAUUACAAACUACAUUCUUUUCCCAGAUAAAUUGGAAAAACGACAUAUAGGCCAUACGUUUAGGACUCUUUUUUUAGGGUGUUCAACCCAAACCAGUAUUCAAAUAAAUUGAGCCCAUACUGUGAGAGUCAGUAGUUCCGGUAUAUAUGGCCCAUUAAAAAAGUACAUUUAUAUUAUCAGGAGGAUGGCAGUUUAAUUAUUAACAGGAUAAAAGUUUUAUUAUAUAGAGCAUGCCAUUUUUGUUAUUAUUGACAUGACAUUUUUAUUAUAGGAGGAUUACAAUUUUAUUAUAUAGUGCAUACAUUUUUUAUUAUUGUUGACAUGUCAUUUUUUUUGUUAGGAGGAUGACAUUUUUUGGACUGGCAUUUUUUAUUAAUUGUUAACAGAAUGAUGGUUUUAUUAUUAGGAGGACGGUGGUUUUUAUUUUUAUUGGCAUGCCAUUUUUGUCCUUGAUAUGACAUUUUUUAAUAUUUUUUGCACAGUGGAACCAAUCAAGCAAAAAAUUACAUCAUGGCAUUUUUUUGGUCAUUGACAAAGAUAAAGGAAAAAACGCUCUCGCAAACAUGUUUUUUACUGCGAAACAUCUACACGGUGGAAUUCAUACCAUUCGUAAAAUUAUAGAUUAUCAUGGCAUUUUUUGUAAAGUAACAUGCCAUUUUUCAUAUUAUUUAUAUCAUGGCAAUUAUAUAUUUUAUGUGUACUUUGUUUUUAUAAGAAAACUAUGUUCCUUUUCAUUAAAAAAGGUAAUCUGGGCAUUUUGGGCCAAUGGAGGUUCGCAUUGGCCUUUCUGUUAUGGCAUAUCUCUCUCAAGGUAGUUUUGAUGAUUGAUGAUAACAUGUUUGCGGACUAAUCAUGUGCUUUGAAUAGUUCACAGAUUCACCCCUGGCACGAGACGUUUCCUUCCCUUCAAGAUGGUGGCGGAGAAGAGGGGUGUAGCUCUUUCGUUUCUCUCUCGGUGGACUAGUUGCGUAGAGGGCACCGUACUAUCAAGAGGGGGUCCGCUGGGGUAUUGCAUGGGUGGAAUCAACACGUACACAUCAGCUUCUCACCCUCCGAGCUUUUCCAUUCCAUUGUAGAGAUUUCUCCUCUUUUCCUUGUCCUGUCUGGGUCCCAGCGAUAGUACCGUGAAACCCAGCGGUAGUACCGCUGAGGAAAAACAAGCGGCAGUACCGCUCCACAGCGGUAGUACCGCCCUUGUCUCCACAUCAGUAGCACCGCUGGGGUGCAUGGCACCACCGCCUCGUCCUCAGCCUCAUUGGAGAGAUUCUCUCUCUCUCUUCAGUGUCCCAGCGGUAGUACGACCGAAGGGUCACAAGCGGCAGUACCGCUCCACAGCGGUAGUACCGCCCGUGACCCCGCUGCCGUAGUACCGCUGGGCUGUCUGGCUCCUACCGCCUCGACUCGAGGGGUCUUUUUCUCAUGUCCGGUUUUGCGGCACUAGUUGCGGUUGUAGAGGCGGUAGUACCGUUGCAGGAGCGGUAGUACCGCCCCUACCACCGCGGUAGUACCGCGUUGGGUCCUAUUCCCUACUAGUCUCCUCUGCGCGGCAGUGCUGCUGGCUGGUGCGGCAGUACCGCUGACCUAGCGGUAGUACCGCCCCCUCUUAGCGGUAGUACCACCUUGUGCGGGGCUGGUUGGUGGGGGGCAACGGUUGGAUUGUUGCCCCCACUAUAAAAGGGAGUCCCCUUCUUCUCUUUAACCUACCUCUUCCUCCCCCAAGCUCCAUUUAUUGCUCAAGCUCCAUUAAAUGCUCCAAGCUCCAUUUUCACCCGAUCUAUCUCUCUAGCCAAUCAAACUUGUUGAUUUGCUCGGGAGUGGUUGAGAAGGCCCCGAUCUACACUUCCACCAAGGGAUUUUUGAUCCCCCCACUCAUCCCUAGCGGAUCUUGUUACUCUUGGGUGUUUGAGCACCCUAGACGGUUGAGGUCACCACGGAGCCAUAGUCCAUUGUGGUGAAGCUUCGUGGUUUUGUUGGGAGCCUCCGAUUAAGUUGUGGAGAUUGCCCCAACCUUGUUUGUAAAGGUUCGGUUGCCGCCUUCAAGGGCACCAAUAGUGGAAUCACGGCAUCUCGCAUUGUGUGAGGGCGUGAGGAGAAUACGAUGGCCGUAGUGGCUUCUUGGGGAGCAUCGUGCCUCCACACCGCACCAUUGAAAGUGGGUGAUCCCACCAACAAGGUGACGGAUGUUAUCCCCGACAAGGGGGAAGCUAGUAGUGAAAAGGCUCCAUCUUCUAGUGGUAAAAAUGGCACCGACAUCUUUGCUCAUGUGGAACCACCACUUGUUUAUGGUGGACCGGUUCCUUCUACUCAUUUGAAUCAUGCCGGUGCUCCCCCUAAGAUUGUGAAAAAUGAGGACUUUGAUUCUUGGGUUUACCGCUUUAAACGUCAUUUAAAUCAUGUGAACACUAACCUUUGGAGAAUCAUUGAAGAAGGUUUUUAUCCGCAUGAUCCAAGCAACUUCACUCCUCGAGAAGCCGCGGAUAAUCAAUUCAAUGAGAAUGCUCUCUUCAUCAUUCAAGAUGCAAUUCCACCCGAAGACCUACCUCAUCUUCGUCCCUUCGCCUUGGCCAAAGAUGCAUGUCAUUGUGUUGUCUCUCUCUACCGGGGAAGCGCAAGCAUUCAACGCUCCAACUAUGAAGUGGUGCAAGAUGAGGCCAAUGAGUUUGCUAUGAAAGAAGAUGAAGAACCUCGUGAGCUUUAUCAAAGAGUAACCAAACUCGCGGUCUCACUACGAGAUCACGGGAGCAAGGACACGGAUGACAAUUGGAUCAAGCGCAAAUUCCUCAAGGCAAUGAUGCCCUACCACAAGGCCAUGUCCUCCGUCAUUCGUCAAAGACCGGACUUCCACACUUUGACCUCAAGCGAAGUGUUGGAUGAGUUUGUGGCCAUGAACAUUUUGGACAAGACCGCCAACAAUGCGGUGCUCCAUUGUCAACGGGCAAAGAAGCCUAACCUUGCAUUGAAGGCCAAGCUCACCAUUGAAGAAGAAGAAGAGGAAGAAGAGGAGAGCAACCCCGAAGAUACGAAGUAUGCAUAUCAUGAACACAUGGCACUUGCUUCAAGGCAAUUUUGGAGCAAGAAAAACUCGAGGCCAAACUUUAGCAAAAACAACUCGAGUGGCACGAGGGGCAAGCAACGUGUAAGGACUUGCUAUAAUUGCGGCAACGUGAGUCAUUUUGUUGCGGAAUGCCCGUAUGAGAAAAGGGAAGACAAUGGUGGCAAGCUCAUCCGAAAGGACAAGGUCAAGUCAUUCCCCAACAAGAACAACUUCACCAAGAAGACUCCUCCCAAGGCAUUGGUUGUACAAGAAUAGUACAAUGAGGAUGAUGACAAUGAUGAAGAUGAUGAGUCGAUUGCCAUGGCCUCCGUUUCCAUUGCGGCGACUUCACGGGUGUCUCUCUUCGACUCACCCAAUGAGAGCAUCACCGCCAAGUGCCUCAUGGCUAAAGCCACCAACAAGGUAACCCCCAAUAUCAAAACUACCAUCAUUAAUCAUCCUUCUCCGACAGAUAGCAUUAAUGAACUUGAGGGAGCUAAUGUGGAGGCUAACGAGUUGGAGGCCUUUAUGGGCAAACUCAAGGGAAAAUCCAAGAAGCACUUUGUUGCUCUCUUAGAACAACUUGGUGAAGCCAAUGACAUGAUCGAGGCUCACGAAGACACCAUCACUAAGAUGGAAGGGCAUAGUCGUGACUAUGCCGAUGAGAUUUCGGAUCUUUCCAAUGCUCUUGAGGAAGAGCGUGGUCUUCGUUUGGCUCUUGAGGAGUCACACAACGUUGAUCAUGCUAAGUUAAAGAAAGAUUAUGAUCAUGUCCUCAUAGUUUCUCAUGUGCUAAACUCCGAGAAGGCCGAACUUGAGGUUGAUCUUGCUAGACUCAAAGAGGAGUUUGAUUUACUUGACAAGGCUCACAAGGUCUUGAAGGGUGCUCAUGCUAGCCGCAAAGAGUCUCAUGAUCAACUUCAAGUAAAGCUAACCAAGGAAAAAGCCACUUUCUCUCGUAUGAUGUUAAUUGAUAAUGCAAAUGCUACUAACCCGUGUUGUGAGCAUGUGCAUCUCGUUGAGGAGAACGCUAAGCUAAAGGGGCAACUUGAGAGAGGCCUUGCGACUUGCAUACAAGUCAAGAAGAACCUCAACGAUCUCUUGAUCAACCAAAAGGGAGUUGUGGCCAAGGAAGGGGUUGGGUAUGUGCCCGACUCCAAGAACAAGAAGAAGAAUGACAAGACCAAACGACCUCCUCCUCUCAUGCAAACCUUUGUGAAGGAGGGAGAGAGUGCCUCCGAGGAAAAGAAGAAGAACAAUGUCAAGAAGGGCAAUGUCACCCCUCCCAACAAAGCCGGCGAUUUUAAUCCUUCUUAUGUGUUAUGCCGUGCUAGUGAUGGGCAUGUUUAUGCCAAAUUUGUUGGUUCUCCUCAUGAAUACAUUGAAUGGUCUAUUUGGGUUCCAAAAACCCUUGUCACUAACAUCAAAGGACCCAUUACAAAAUGGGUACCUAAAACCAAGCAUUGAUCUCUUGUAGGUGUUUGCUUCUGGUGGGGGAUCAUGGUUGCUCGAUAGCGGAGCUACUAAUCAUAUGACCGGAAGCAAGGACUUGGUGGUGGACGUGCACAAGGUUCCAUCUAUGCCCACCAAUGUUGAGUGGGGUGACGCCUCAUCUUCUAAGGUAUUGGGACUUGGCAAGGUGGUCAUCUCUCAUGAUCUCACGAUCGAGAAGGUCAUGCUUGUUGAGUCCCUUGCAUACAAUUUACUUUCCGUUCGUCAACUUGCAAUCAUGGGCUUUGCCACUUUCUUUGAUAUCGAUACCGUGGCCCUCUUGUGGAGCAAGACUCUUAAAGUAGCUUUUGUUGGGCAUGUCGAGAACGGUCUAUAUGUGAUUAACUUUUCGGAGCGACCCAUUAAGACCGCGACAUGCCUAAUGGCUAAAGUUGAUGUGGGAUGGCUUUGGCAUCGCCGUUUAGCCCAUGUCAAUAUGAGAUCUUUGCAAAGUCUCCUCAAGGGGGACCAUGUCCGUGGACUAACGAAUGUUAGUUUUGCUAAAGAUCGUGCUUGCAGUGCCUGUACAGAAGGAAAGCUACAUGAGAAGGCUCACCCUCCCACGACUAUCAUUUAUUCAAAGAGGCCUUUGGAGCUCCUUCACAUGGAUCUCUUUGGGCCUCCAUCCUUCGAUAGUUUUGGAGGUAGGAAGUAUUGCUUGGUGAUUGUGGAUGACUACUCAAGGUACACGUGGGUGUAUUUCUUCAAGAGGAAGAACGAGACCCAACAAACCGUCAUUGACUUUGCAAAUGAAGCACAACGUCAACACAAUGCAAAGAUCUUGAUAAUAAGAAGUGACAACGGCACCGAGUUCAAGAACUACACCUUGGAUGAGUUUCUUAGUGAUGAGGGAAUCAAGCAUCAAUAUUCCGCACCCUACACCCCUCAACAAAACGGUGUUGCAGAGAGGAAGAACCGGACGUUGAUGGAUGUGGCAAGGACCAUGAUGGCAGAGUUCAAGUCUCCGUACAACUUUUGGGCCGAAGCCAUCAACACCGCAUGUCAUGCAUCCAAUCGGCUCUACCUCUACAAGGGCUUGAACAAGACUCCAUAUGAGAUACUCACCGGUAACAGGCCCAAUCUCAAGUACUUCCGAGUAUUCGGGUGUAAGUGUUUCAUUCUCAAGAAAGGUGUUCGAUUGUCUAAAUUUGAGGCUAGAGCUUAUGAGGGCAUAUUUGUUGGUUAUGCUACAAACUCUCAUGCUUACCGUGUCCUCAAUAAAUCCACGGGACUUAUUGAGGAGACAGGUAACGUGGAGUUUGAUGAGAAUAACGGCUCCCAAGUGGAGCAAAGUGGCACUUGUGAUGUAGGUGAUGAAAUUCCUCCCCAAGCCAUAAGAAGAAUGGGUGUUGGCUUUAUCCUACCCAUUGAGGAACCCCUUGUGGCCGAAGGAGAAGGACAAAGCUCCACUCAAGUGGAGCCAUCACCAACCCAAGGCCCACACGCUUCUGAAGAACAACAUGAAGGCCCUCAUCCUCAAGAACAUGACCAAGGGCAAGAUCACGCUCAAGACGGUGUUGACACAUCAAGUGAUGCCCAAGGUCAAGUUCUCUCCUCCGAGCAAGUUCAAGAACAAGAACAAGCCCAAGACGACGCUCAAGAUGAUCAAGUGACCACUCCUCGUCUCACCCCCGAGGAGGAAUUAGAGCGUCGUGCUGCCAAGGUUGCUUCCAAGCUCUCCACCAAGGAUCAUCUCAUGACGAAUGUGCUUGGAAACUUAAGAAAGGGGGUAAGCACUUGUAGACAAUUAGCAAAUUAUUGUGAGCAUCACGUGUUUGUCUCUUGUGUGGAACCCCACAAGGUCUAUGAAGCGCUAGAAGAUCCGGAUUGGCUCAAUCCCAUGCAUGAAGAACUCAACAACUUCGAGCGCAACAAAGUGUGGAGAUUGGUGCCAAGACCGAUCGGGAAUCACAAUGUCAUAGGAACCAAGUGGAUAUUUAAGAACAAGCAAGAUGCCCAUGGGAUUAUCAUUCGCAACAAGUCUUGUUUGGUAGCACAAGGCUACUCCCAAGUCGAGGGUAUCGACUACGGUGAAACCUUUGCUCCCGUUGAUCGUCUUGAAUCCAUUCGCAUGUUGAUUGCAUAUGCUUCUCAUCAUAACUUUAAGUUACAACAAAUGGAUGUGAAGAGUGCUUUUCUUAAUGGUCCUAUUAAUGAGUUGGUUUAUGUCAAGCAACCCCCCGGGUUCGAGGAUCCCUACUUUCCCGAUCAUGUGUAUCAACUCGAUAAGGCACUCUAUGGCCUUAACAAGCCCCACGUGCGUGGUAUGACCACCUUACCGAGUUGUUACAAGACCGUGGUUUUGAAGUUGGGCUAAUCGACCCCACUCUUUUUACUAAGAAGGUCAAAGGGGAGUUGUUUGUAUGCCAAUUAUACGUUGAUGAUAUUAUCUUUGGUUCUCCUAACAAAGCUUUCAAUGAGGAAUUUGCCGCUCUCAUGACCUCAAAGUUCAAGAUGUCCUCCAUGGGAGAGUUGAUGUUCUUUCUAGGGUUCGAAGUGAAGCAAAGAAGAGAAGGAACCUUCAUCAAUCAAUCCAAAUACACUCAAGACAUGCUCAAGAGAUUCAAGCUAAGUGACGUCAAGCCGGCUUCCACUCCAAUGCCCACCAAGUGCCAACUUGACUUAGAUCCCAAUGGUAAAGUGGUGGAUCAAAAGGUAUAUCAUUCCAUUAUUGGAUCCUUGCUUUACGUACCUUUGUGCAUCUAGACCGGACAUCAUGUUGAGUGUGGGAAUUUGUGCACGGUUUCAAGCCGCACCUAAGGAAAGUCACUAUGUGGCGGUCAAACGAAUCUUUCGAUAUUUGGUUCAUACCCCAAACUUUGGCUUAUGGUACCCAAGAGGAUCAAACUUCAAGCUUGUAGGGUACUCGGAUUCCGAUUGGGCGGGAGACAAAGUGGAUAGGAAGUCCACUUCCGGAGGGUGCCAAUUCCUUGGUUGCUCUUUGGUAAGUUGGUCUUCCAAAAAGCAAAGUUGUGUGUCUCUCUCGUCCACUGAGGCGGAGUAUGUUGCCGCCGGUAGUUGUUGUGCACAACUCCUAUGGAUGAGGAAAACUUUAAAGGAUUAUGGUGUCACUUGUGACAAAGUGCCUCUUUGGUGUGACAAUGAAAGUGCCAUCAAGAUCUCUCUCAACCCGGUGCAACACUUCAAGACGAAGCAUAUUGAGAUUCGGUAUCACUUCAUCCGGGAUCACAUUAGGCGAGGAGAGAUCGAGCUCAACUAUGUCAACACUCAUGACAACCUUGCAGAUAUUUUCACGAAGCCCUUGGAUGAAGCAAGAUUUCACGAGUUAAGGCAUGAGCUAAAUAUCAUUGAUUCGAGCAAUGUGGCUUGAACCCUUGCACACCCCACCACGCUCAUUUUGUUGUCUAGUUUAGGUGUAGGCAUGGACAUAGGGGGAGUGUUGUUCUCUCAAUGAACUCUCCCUCCCCCCAUUAUGCAUAAAUUGAUCAAGUCUUUCACUUUAGCCAUUGUUGAUGGUACUUGUGCUUCAAAGACGAGUUUUGGUCAUGGGCCCAAGGUUAAAAUCUUCGCGGCGCCAUACCUUUUGACUCAAACAUAGGUGGCCUCGGCCACCGCCCUCUUUUGAGAGGUGUGUCUUGGUCGUUUGCUGGUGUGCUCUUUUUCUUGCCGUUUUUGUCUUUCCUUUGAGCAAAAGCCUUGUUUGUUUGGUUGCCGUGGCGUGCUGGGCGGUACUACCGCUGGUGGUGCGCGGUACUACCGCUCAUAAGCGGUACUACCGCCCCCCAGCAUGGUACUACCACUGAGGGACGGGAUCAGGGGGUUAUAUCGGGGCAGGGGGAGGUUUCUUCUCCCCCAUACCCAUUCACUUCGCCCCCUCUUUCUUCUUCCUCUCUCCAGCCUCCACUCACCGUGGGAGGGCUCCGACGGAUCUCCGUCUCCGGGGCGUCCCUCUCCAUUUCCUUUGGUGGAGUCGAUCCCCACCUCGUUCUCUUGCCAUGGAUGCCGAUAUUGCCCCCGUUCCUUCUUUCCUUUUGUCUCACUUUCAGAUCUUGUUUCUUAGGGGCAAUGGUGGUUGCAUCUCUAGAUUUUUGGCUAAAUCUAGGCUUGAGUUGGUUGGAGAAGGCAACUAGACUAUCUCGAUUAGAGUUUGGUAGGAAUAUUUUUGAAUUUGGCAGGCCAGUAGUGCCGGAUCUGACCAUGGUAGUAGGAAACCGCUGUUUCUCCACCUCGUGCUGUAGGAAACUGUUGUUUCUCCGCCUCGAGCAGUACUACCGCUCUCGUUGGAGCAGUACUACCGCUUGACCUCGAGUGGUACUACCGCUCUAUUUGGGGCGGUACUACCGCGGGCAUGUCACGGUACUACCGCUGCAUGCCAAAUUCCAUCAAAUUCCUACCUUACCUUGAUUAUUUUUGUUGUGUUUGUUGGCUUAUGCUCGUUCUUUCUGGUUGUUUUGCGUGUUCUUGUGUUUGGCUCCAGGUGAUGACCAUUCUGAGCAUCAAGCUCGCCGUAUCAACCCCGGGCGUGCAACAUCAAAACGCUACCACACCUCUGAGCCAGCCGGUGGCUCCUCGAGCACCCAACCGCCUCCAGCAAGUGCAUCCGCAAGUGUUCCUCCACCUCCUCAGCAAACAAAGAGAUCCACCAACAAACCAAAAGGGAAGACUGUGACUGAGAUGACCAACAAGGAGUUUUGGGAGAAGCGGCGCCGCAACCCCUAUGCGGUGGACCAAGAACCCACUUUGGUCAACCGCCCGUUCUAGAACCGUUUUCAGUUUGCCAUCUACUUUGAUGUGAUCAAGGCCAAGAAGAAUCUCUUUGUUGAUGUUCGCUCCAUUGACACUGAUGCUAUGGAGAAGGACCCGGAGUACUUUGGCGAAGCCCUUCAGAUGUGCACUCAGCUGAACAUUCUCAGGAUCAUGCAAUUCAACAAGGAUUUCGAUGCAGAUUUGGUGGCUCAAUUCUAUGCCACCGUCCAUCUUGGGACGGAUGUCGACAGGACUCUGACAUGGAUGACCAAUGGCAAGCUGCUUUCCGUCAAGUGGAAGGCUUUCAUGGAGUUAUUUGAUGUGGUGGAUCACGGGCUUGAGACUCCUGUCGGUUUCCGCCCUCACCGCAAUGCUACGUCCACCCACAAGCAAGCCCUUUGGCCCUACUGCACUGUGAAAGUUCACCCAGUAACUAAGAAGAAGACCUAUGAGCUGUCUCUGUAUCUGGACAUUCUUCAUCGCAUCUUCCGUGAGACUCUCUUCCCUCGGAUCGGGAAUCUGGAUAUGGUCCACUCUUACCUUGUGGACAUGCUCCUUUUCUGUCAGCAUGAGAAGGAAGCAAGCACUGGAGAGAGCCUGGAUAUUUCUCAUGUCAUGUGGUCUGAACUUCUCUCUGCCGUGUCUGAGCGCAAGUGCCCUAUAUAUGGUCCAUUCAUCAUGAGGCUCAUUGAGACGGCCUGGGCACAGACUUAUCCCAGAGUAUUGCUAGAAACUGGAGACUUGGUUUCUCAUGAGAUCAAGAGUCUGAGGAAGAAGGACAAUUGGGCCACCCCAGUGCCUCACACAGGGGGUCCGUCUGCUGCUGCUGCCAUGGGGACCGAGGGUGGGGCUGCUACUGAUGAUCAUGAGGAGGACUUUGGGCCCUCUAGUACAGAACCGUCAUGGGCACAGAAGCUUAAACGCAAGAUGAAGAAGCUUUUCUGCAUGGAGUCUCAUGGCCAGUACAUGACUCAUGUGACGGAGAAGCAUGCCAGGACGCGCCACAAGGAGCUCAUGCGUCAGAUGGGGGCGACAGUUGCCAGUGGGUUUGAGGGGCAGAUCAUUGAAGAGGAGGAAUGGAUUCAUCAGCAUUGCCCUUGGACCGACUCCGAUGCCGAGCAGUUUUCGACCCACGAUGAAGAUGCAGAGAUGUGAUGUUCGAGAUCUUCUUCUUACCAUCACCUGGAGUCGUAGCGUCACUCUUUGCCCUUUUUGGUGUCUCGCUGCCAAAGGGGGAGAGAGUGUAGGGAUUUGUGUUAUUGGCGUACUUUGAGUUGUCUUGUGGUUUCUUGUGUGUUCUCUCGGUGUCUUUAUUUGGUUUGGUUUGGUGCCUGUGAGACCUAAGUUCUAGACAUAUGGUGUGAGACAUAUGCUCCCUAUCGCUACCUUAUUACUUAUGUCUUUUCAGUUCUGUAGUUUAUUAUGAGAUGCAUGCUUGUCUUGUUAUAUUCUCUUCUCUCAUAUAUCUUGUGCUUAGAAUUGUGCUUAGAAUUGUUGGAGUAUAAAAUAUAGGGGGAGUGUUGAUCCUGAUGUGUGUGUCUUGCUUUCCGGAUGCUCCUCUAACCAAGUGCACACAUUCUGGGGGAGCCCGUCUAUAUUUUGUAGUUCUUAGUUUUCUUUCUUUUAUUUCUUUUCCUUGCGCAAAUCCCUAGUUGUCAUCAAUCCACCAAAAAGGGGGAGAUUGUUACGGCAUAUCUCUCUCAAGGUAGUUUUGGUGAUUGAUGACAACAUGUUUGUGGACUAAUCAUGUGCUUUGAAUAGUUCACAGAUUGACCCCUGGCACGAGACGUUUCCUUCCCUUCAAGACGGUGGCGGAGAAGAGGGGUGUAGUUCUUUCGUUUCUCUCUCGGUGGACUAGUUGCGUAGAGGGCACCGUACUAUCAAGAGGGGGUCCGCUGGGGUAUUGCAUGGGUGGAAUCAACACGUACACAUCAGCUUCUCACCCUCCGAGCUUUUCCAUUCCAUUGUAGAGAUCUCUCCUCUUUUCCUUGUCCUGUCUGGGUCCCAGCGGUAGUACCGCGCAACCCAGCGGUAGUACCGCUGAGGAGACACAAGCGGCAGUACCGCUCCACAGCGGUAGUACCGCCCUUGUCUCCACAGUAGUAGUACCGCUGGGGUGCCUGGCACCACCGCCUCGUCCUCAGCCUCAUUGGAGAGAUUCUCUCUCUCUCUUCAGUGUCCCAACGGUAGUACCGCACUACUAGCGGUAGUACGGCCGAAGGAUCACAAGCGGCAGUACCGCUCCACAGCGGUAGUACCGCCCGUGACCACACUGCCGUAGUACCGCUGGGCUGUCUGGCUCCUACCGCCUCGACUCGAGGGGUCUUUUUCUCGUGUCGGGUUUUGCGGCACUAGUUGCGGUUGUAGAGGCGGUAGUACCGUUGCAGGAGCGGUAGUACCGCCCCUACCACCGCGGUAGUACCGCGUUGGGUCUUAUUCCCUACUAGUCUCCUCUGCGCGGCAGUGCCGCUGGCUGGUGCGGCAGUACCGCUGACCUAGCGGUAGUACCGCCCCCUCUUAGCGGUAGUACCGCCCUGUGCGGGGUUGGUUGGUGGGGGGCAACGGUUGGAUUGUUGCCCCCACUAUAAAAGGGAGUCCCCUUCUUCUCUUUGACCUACCUCUUUCUCCCCCAAGCUCCAUUUAUUGCUCAAGCUCCAUUAAAUGCUCCAAGCUCCAUUUUCGCCCGAUCUAUCUCUCUAGCCAAUCAAACUUGUUGAUUUGCUCGGGAGUGGUUGAGAAGGCCCCGAUAUACACUUCCACCAAGGGAUUUUCGAUUCCCCCACUCAUCCCUAGCGGAUCUUGUUACUCUUGGGUGUUUGAGCACCCUAGACGGUUGAGGUCACCACGGAGCCAUAGUCCAUUGUGGUGAAGCUUCGUGGUUUUGUUGGGAGCCUCCGAUUAAGUUGUGGAGAUUGCCCCAACCUUGUUUGUAAAGGUUCGGUCGCCGCCUUCAAGGGCACCAAUAGUGGAAUCACGGCAUCUCGCAUUGUGUGAGGGCGUGAGGAGAAUACGGUGGCCCUAGUGGCUUCUUGGGGAGCAUCGUGCCUCCACACCGCUCCAAUGGAGACGUACUUCCCCUCAAAGGGAAGGAACUUCGGUAACACAUCCUCGUCUUCACCGGAUCCACUCUUGGUUAUCUCUUACCUUUACUUGUGCAAGCUCUUUAGUGUUACUUCUCUUGCUUGCUUGUUUGCUUGUUGGUAUUGCAUCAUAUAGGUUGCUCACCCAGUUGCACAUCUAGACAACCUACUUUGAUGCAAAGUUUAAUUUGAUAAAGAAAAGUUAAAAAUUGGUAGUUGCCUAUUCACCCCCCCUGCCCUCUAGUCAACCAUAUCGAUCCUUUCACUUUCCCUAUCGACCGAUUGAGGGGAGGGCGUUACAUUCGCUGGGACUGCCCCCUUGGCGACCACUUCGUUCGAUUAACCCUCCUCCCUGGCGAUCGAAUGCCAGUUAUUCGGGUCCUUUAUUUAUAGGUAGUGUAGGGAAAAGAAUAGCAAGCGAACACCCGCAAGCCGGCAAAUAGGGGAACCGGGGAAGGAAGAACCAAUGCGAGGACGAAGAGAAAGAAGUAGGGCGGGAGAGGUGGACUAAAGGUGUAGAGCCCGGAGCUACCCGGUCCUUCUUUUUUGUGAAUUGGUUGGUCAGAAAAUUAGCAUUGAAUAGUUGCCUAGGUGUGUGUGUUUGGAUCAAGUUUUUGUGGAACUUGGGUUGGAUUAUUUGAUUACUACCACAAAGAAAAUAUUAUUUGGUCGCUAGGAAUGAAUCGUUUAUUACAAACUACAUUUUUUCCAGAUAAAUUGGAAAAACGACAUAUAGGCCAUACGUUUAGGACUCUUUUUUUAGGGUGUUCAACCCAAACCAGUAUUCAAAUAAAUUGAGCCCAUACUGUGAGAGUCAGUAGCCCGGUAUAUAUGGCCCAUUAAAAAAGUACAUUUGUUUUCGAAAUAUCAAUUAAAAAUUUGAACUAUAAUCAGUUUGACAAUGAAAUAAUCAAAAUAUUCACCCAUUAUAAAAAUAUGUAGUUUGAAAAAAUAUUUAUGUAUUUUAAAAAUAUACUCAUGGAACUAAUUUUUUUUCCAUAUUUAGUGUGUGUUUAAUUUUAGAAUGAUUUUUUAUUACAAAGUCAAAAAAAUGCCGAAUUAGCAAGUGAAAACUAUAUGUUAGUGAAAAUCUGGAAACGUUCCUCAUGGAUCAUCAGAUAGACAAGGAACGCUGGAGAUUUGAGGUGGGAUCCCCACCAGCCACUUCAACACGAAUUAGCAAAUAACCCCUUCUUUUACCACUGGGCCAUUGACGCUUCGAGCACGAUCGAUUCGUCUUUGAUCUAGUGGGCGUGAAGGAGAGUUGCCCUACGCCGGCCACGACGCGUUCUCCGCUGGCGGUAAUGCGCCCUUCGUUGGCUGAACUCUCUCUCUCUUCCGGCCACGAAGAGCCCUUCGAUGUCCAUGAUCCUCUCCCUUCGCUAGUUUUGGCCGGCACUUCAGAAGACACAUUGGCGCCGCCUCUCCAUGAUAUCGCCGCUCCUCCGUCCCUGCCAUUACAGUACAUCAUCUGAUUCAUGUACUGAUUGUACUACUAUGGUGUCAUAAAUGUAUUGCCGGAACCUCCUCGUAGCCCUCCACCUGAUGAUAGUACAAUCAGUAGGUAAAUCAUAGUACAAUCAGUAGUACAAUCAGUAGGUAAAUCAUAGUAAUCUCAACGUCAUAGUUUUUCUUCUUCAGUUGAUACACUUUUGAAGCAUCUGAAUUGGUCUUUUCUGUUUGCCGCUUCGUCGGUAUACGGUAUAGCAUGUUCAACAGUUGUCCGCAGUAGUCUAUAUUGCUAUGUAAACUGGACUUUGCCUGCACAAAGAAAUCCUACUUGAGGGCAGAAGACUGGAUUCUCCAAAAGAAACAAUAUCGGAUGAGUUCCCAGAUUAUAAACUAUGGGAUGAGUUCCCAAAAGAAUAUCCUACUUGUAUGUCUAAAAGAAAAUCCUACUUGUACGUCCAUUCUAAUUGUUUCCUUCAUGUCUACCUACGGGAUUUCUUAUUUUGAUUUGAGGCAACCGCGUGUUUUAUUUUGGGUAAUACUCCCUCCUUCCCACAUUAUAAGACGUUUUGGCAAGUUAAAUGGUAUGCCAAAACACCCCGCAAAAAAAAAAAAUGGCAUGCCAAAACGUCUUAUGCGACGAAGGGAGUACAAAGAUUAAAUCCGAAGCUAGUGGGAGCUUGAAUUUCAUUCAUUACUGGCUUUGUGCCGAUAUUUUGCUUGGACUACUAUUUUCUACAUAUCUGAAUUUUAUAUACUUCUGGGAGUUGUCUAGUUAUGUAUCCCGGACCUUGUCUUUGCAACUUGAAGUAUUUACCAAACACUAUGGUUAAUUAAGUUAAUGAUGUAUCAAGCAUUGUAUUUCUGAUUCAUUGCUUCCGGUGCUCUAGUUGUUUUUAUUGAUGGUUGGUGCUGCAUCUGGCUAGAUAGUUGGUUGCAGUCAGAUAACUCCUGACCAUGUGAAAGCCCACAACCGUGUGAUGAAGUUUCUAUGGUUUUUAUGGUUCUGGAAAAAAUUGUUACACAAAUAAUUAUUUCAAUUCUUCAAAGUUCAUGCUCUUAUCAAAAGUCUUUGCGAGAUGAACUUCUGCCCAUGCAUGUGCACAUAAACUAGAGGUCUGUUUGGAUGACGCCGAAGACAGCCCCGCCAAAAUUUUGGUGGGGUAGCUAUUGGCUACAAUCCAAACAGACAGUUUUUGCAAGAUUACUAUUAUUCUGUCAAUCCAUCGUUUAUGCUUUUUAUCUUAUGGGUUAGGUUUUGGAAGCUACACCCCCAGCCACAUGAUUUGUGCUUUUUAUCCUACAUGUUUAUGUAUUUCAAUAAAAAUAUAUUCCUCUCUCCGAUCCAAAUUAGUUAUUGCUCAGACGGAUGUAUCUAUCAUUGAAAUACAUCUCGAUACAUCCAUUUCGGUGACAAGUAAUAUGGAUUGGAGGGAGCACUCAACCAUUUUCUUUCUUCGUUCCAUAGUCAUCUGCCUCUAUUUAGCCUCCCACCCGAUCCUUGCAAGUUAUAUCUUGUUGAAGUUCGUCAUGGUGGCACGGCUCUGCUUGCUCUGUUAAUUCUAUUAUGUCUCUGUUAAUCCCCAUAUCAAACUUUAAGGCUGACAAUAACUUUGUGACAUUGUUCUUUUUAUUGUAACUAUGGCAGGGAUGGAUAAUAGCGGCUUAGUUAUGUUUUCACUGUGUGUCUUUGUCUCUUAGCACCUACAGUGUUGGAUGACACUUUUGCAUUGAACAAUUCAGUAAACCCAACAGUAUAACCACCGUACAUGCCUUCAACAACACAUGAAAACAUCCUCGGCAACAAUAUGAAGUGUACUACAACCAAAACCGCUAGGACAUAAAAACUAGAGUGCGCCACAACACGCAUACGAAUAUCAUACAGUACAAUGUUUGCACAAUAUCAUAUGGGCUGUCACAAAAGAUAGCAAGAACAAAUUGCAGUAUUUUGAAGAACUGUUCACAAUCAAGUUGAUCAAUACUUUAUUACUCUUUUGAGCACAUGGACAUUGAACCUGCCUUACACCCAAGACCUUUUUAGCACAUUAUAAAACAUUGUAUCCAUCAUUCGUUAGACAUUCAGUUAUAGCAGCAACAAAGGCCACCAUGGUCCGGUGUGCAGUGGCCUUUUUUGAAUUCAAAAAAAUGCACAAUGAUCAAUGCAUGGCUGGUCGGAUAAAGUGUCUCCUUCACAACUUUUAAAUUUGAUGCACAAGUAGGGAAGGGGGGUUGGUUUUGGAUCUACACACAAAAAAAUAUAGCAAAGUUAGAAUAUAUAAAAUACUUAAGUUACUUGGGUUAGUUUGAAUUACAUAUGCAAAGGCAUGUGCGCUUACACAAAGUGCGCAUAAACAAAUCCCAAAACAAGCAGGAAGGUUGAUUAGAUAGAGAAAUGGUUGUACCUGCAUGACAUGAGAAUAGAGUAGACAUCAUCACAAGAGCUACCAAGCAUAGAGCUCUUGUAUUGCUCUUGGUAAGAUCCAUAAGAAGUCACUACUAGAAAAAGGGUCAAAUGUGAAGCACAUUAGUGCCGGUUUAAAUUUGAGCCGGCACUAAUGUGACCAUUAGUGCCGGUUUCAACGGCUAGGCAGGCGGGCAUCAUUAGUACCGGUUCGUGGGCAACCUUUAGUACCGGUUCAUGCCACGAACCGGUACUAAUGAGGCUGUGGCAGGCUAUGGUCAGGCUGGGGCCCCCACGAAGACCUUUAGUAUCGGUUCAUGCCCUGAACCGGUACUAGAGUUUCUUAGUAAGCUGAUUUUUAGUCCCACCUCGCCAAGAGAGAGGCAGUAUGAGCGGUUUAUAAGCCGUGAGUGCACAGACAAUGACGAAGAGUUGCAAUGCUCACCUGCAUGUUGAUUAGCUUCAAGCCUUGCGGAAAUAGCAUAGAUUGCACUGAGCUAUGUGCAGUGCAGUCUACACUAUUCCGAAUGGCUUGAAGCAAAUUAACCAGCACUGCACCUCUUUUUUAUUUUUAAUAACUUAUUUGAACUUCGGACUUCUUUUGUGUUCGGUAUGCAGCAUUCAAAGCGACGUCAUCAAUUUCCAACAUGUUUUGACAUCAUUUAUUGUUUUUCGGUCAUUUACCGAAUUGUUUAGAGAGCUAAAUGACCGUGAAAUUGAAAAUUACUACAAAAUGAAUUCUGAAAAUGUUGAAACUUGGCAUGGUAUCAGCAUUUCACCCGCAUAGCAUGUGCGAAAGAGUAGAGAGGGUCACGGCAAAAACUGGACGCAGUUCGUGUACAAACUGGACAAACUCUUUCGGAGUAUCAGGGUUUCGGACGAGAACUCAUCUGUUACACGGGCACUUUAAUGUUUUUUAAACUUAUUUGAACUCCGGACUUCUUUUGUGUUCAGUAUGCAACAUUUAAAGCGACGUCAUCAAUUUCUAACAUGUUCUGACAUCAUUUGUUGUUUUUCGGUCAUUUACCUAAUUGUUUAGAGAGNNNNNNNNNNNNNNNNNNNNNNNNNNNNNNNNNNNNNNNNNNNNNNNNNNNNNNNNNNNNNNNNNNNNNNNNNNNNNNNNNNNNNNNNNNNNNNNNNNNNNNNNNNNNNNNNNNNNNNNNNNNNNNNNNNNNNNNNNNNNNNNNNNNNNNNNNNNNNNNNNNNNNNNNNNNNNNNNNNNNNNNNNNNNNNNNNNNNNNNNNNNUCUGUUCAGUAUGCAGCAUUCAAAGCGACUUCAUCAAUUUCCAACAUGUUCUAACAUCAUUUGUUUUUUUCAGUCAUUUACCUAAUUGUUUAGAGAGCUAAAUGAUUUUGAAAUUGAAAAUCACUAUAAAAUGAAUUCUGAAAAUGUUGAAACUUGGCAUGGUAUCAUCAUUUCACCCGCAUAGCAUGUGCAAAAGAGUAGAGAGGGUCACGGCAAAAACUAGACGCACUUCGUGUACAAACUGGACAAACUCUUUCGGAGUAUCAGGGUUUCGGACAAGAACUCAUCUGUUACACGGGCACUUCAAUGUUUUUUAAUAUCAUUUGAACUCCAGACUUCUUUUGUGUUCGGUAUGUAGCAUUCAAAGUGAUGUCAUCAAUUUCCAACAUGUUCUAACAUCAUUUGUUGUUUUUUGGUCAUUUACCUAAUUGUUUAGAGAGAUAAAUGACCGUGAAAUUGAAAAUCACUACAAAAUGAAUUCUAAAAAUGUAGAAACUUGGCAUGGUAUCAUCAUUUCACCCGCAUAGCAUGUGCGAAAGAGUAGAGAGGGUCACGGCAAAAACUGGAUGCACUUCAUGUACAAAUUGGACAAACUCUUUCGGAGUAUCAGGGUUUCGGACAAGAACUCAUCUGUUACACGGGCACUUCAAUGUUUUUUAAACUUAUUUGAACUCCGGACUUCUUUUGUGUUCAGUAUGCAGCAUUCAAAGCGACAUCAUCAAUUUCUAACAUGUUCUAACAUCAUUUGUUGUUUUUCGGUCAUUUACCUAAUUGUUUAGAGAGCUAAAUGAUCGUGAAGUUGAAAAUCACUAAAAAUGAAUUCUGAAAAUGUUGAAACUUGGCAUGNNNNNNNNNNNNNNUCAUUUGUUACACGGGCACUUCAAUGUUUUUUAAACUUAUUUGAACUCCGGACUUCUUUUAUGUUCAGUAUGCAGCAUUCAAAGCGACGUCAUCAAUUUCCAACAUGUUCUGACAUCAUUUGUUCUUUUUCGGUCAUUUACCUAAUUGUUUAGAGAGCUAAAUGAUCGUGAAAUUGAAAAUCACUACAAAAUGACUUCUGAAAAUGUUGAAACUUGGCAUGGUAUCAUCAUUUCACCCGCAUAGCAUAUGCGAAAGAGUAGAGAGGGUCAAGGCAAAAACUAGACACACUUCGUGUACAAACUGGACAAACUCUUUCGGAGUAUCAGGGUUUCGGACGAGAACUCAUCUGUUACACGGGCACUUUAAUGUUUUUUAAACUUAUUUGAACUCCGGACUUCUUUUGUGUUCAGUAUGCAGCAUUCAAAGCGACGUCAUCAAUUUCCAACAUGUUCUGACAUCAUUUGUUGUUUUUCGGUCAUUUACCUAAUUGUUUAGAGAGCUAAAUGACCGUGAAAUUGAAAAUCACUACAAAAUGACUUCUAAAAAUGUUGAAACUUUGCAUGGUAUCAUCAUUUCACGCGCAUAGCAUGUGCGAAAGAGUAGAGAGGGUCACGACAAAAACUGGACGCACUUCGUGUACAAACUGGACAAACUCUUUCGGAGUAUCAGGGUUUCGCACGAGAACUCAUCUGUUACACGGGCACUUCAAUGUUUUUAAAACUUAUUUGAACUCUGGACUUCUUUUGUGUUCAGCAUGCAGCAUUCAAAGCGAUAUCAUCAAUUUCCAACAUGUUCUAACAUCAUUUGUUAUUUUUCGGUCAUUUACCUAAUUGUUUAGAGAGCUAAAUGACCGUGAAAUUGAAAAUCACUACAAAAUGACUUCUGAAAAUGUUGAAACUUGGCAUGGUAUCAUCAUUUCACCCGCAUAGCAUGUGCGAAAGAGUAGAGAGGGUCACGGCAAAAAUUGGACGCACUUCGUGUACAAACUGAAAAUAGAAGAAAAGAAAUAAUGCAGAAAAGAAAAAACUAUACAAAAAAUUACUCAAAAAUAAAUAGAAGAAAAUAAAUAAUGCAAAAAAGAAAAAAAAACUAUAUAAAAAAUUACUUAAAAAUAAAUAGAAGAAAAUAAAAAAUGCAGAAAAGAAAAAACUAUAUAAAAAAUUUGUUGGCGCACUGCCCAGUGGGUCUGCCAGACCUAGGGUGUGCAAAUGCAGGCCCAGAAAGGCCAGCAGACUCACAGGGCAGCGCGCCCUAGUUAGGCCCAAAAGCCUGCUAUAUAGAGAAGCUCGAAGGAGCAGCCGCGGCUGAGUUUAUAAACCAGUGCGGUUGCCCUUCGCUCGGCGAGGUGGGACUAAAUAUUUGUGCACCGCCGGUGGCAGCGCACAACCAUUAGUACCGGUUGGUGGCUCCAACCGAUACUAAAGGGGGGGUCUUUAGCACCGGUUCGUGGCACAAACCGAUACUAAAGAGGUCGUUUCCCGCCCCUUGGCCGGCGAAAAUUGGCCUUUAUUACCGGUUGGUGGCUCCAACCGUACUAAAGACCCCUCCUAUAUAUAUGGCACUUACAAAAAAUCAGUUUCAUCGACGACCAGUACUUCUUCUCGAUCCAACUUCUUCGCCGCGCCUGUCGCCCAUCGCGCGCCGCCCUCGCCGCCUGUCGUCGCCGUCACCGCCAUCGCCCACGCCACCCGUCGUCGCCGUCACCGCCGUCGCCCCCGCCACCCGUCGUCGCCGNNNNNNNNNNNNNNNNNNNNNNNNNNNNNNNNNNNNNNNNNNNNNNNNNNNNNNNNNNNNNNNNNNNNNNNNNNNNNNNNNNNNNNNNNNNNNNNNNNNNNNNNNNNNNNNNNNNNNNNNNNNNNNNNNNNNNNNNNNNNNNNNNNNNNNNNNNNNNNNNNNNNNNNNNNNNNNNNNNNNNNNNNNNNNNNNNNNNNNNNNNNNNNNNNNNNNNNNNNNNNNNNNNNNNNNNNNNNNNNNNNNNNNNNNNNNNNNNNNNNNNNNNNNNNNNNNNNNNNNNNNNNNNNNNNNNNNNNNNNNNNNNNNNNNNNNNNNNNNNNNNNNNNNNNNNNNNNNNNNNNNNNNNNNNNNNNNNNNNNNNNNNNNNNNNNNNNNNNNNNNNNNNNNNNNNNNNNNNNNNNNNNNNNNNNNNNNNNNNNNNNNNNNNNNNNNNNNNNNNNNNNNNNNNNNNNNNNNNNNNNNNNNNNNNNNNNNNNNNNNNNNNNNNNNNNNNNNNNNNNNNNNNNNNNNNNNNNNNNNNNNNNNNNNNNNNNNNNNNNNNNNNNNNNNNNNNNNNNNNNNNNNNNNNNNNNNNNNNNNNNNNNNNNNNNNNNNNNNNNNNNNNNNNNNNNNNNNNNNNNNNNNNNNNNNNNNNNNNNNNNNNNNNNNNNNNNNNNNNNNNNNNNNNNNNNNNNNNNNNNNNNNNNNNNNNNNNNNNNNNNNNNNNNNNNNNNNNNNNNNNNNNNNNNNNNNNNNNNNNNNNNNNNNNNNNNNNNNNNNNNNNNNNNNNNNNNNNNNNNNNNNNNNNNNNNNNNNNNNNNNNNNNNNNNNNNNNNNNNNNNNNNNNNNNNNNNNNNNNNNNNNNNNNNNNNNNNUAGUUUAGUUGAAUUUUUUAGUUGAACUAGUUAGUUGAAUUAGUUCAAUUAAUUAGGUAUAUUCUUCGUAAAUGCUUAGUUGAAUUAGUUCAAUUAAUUAGGUAUAUUCUUCGUAAAUGCUUAGUUGAAUUAGUUCAAUUAAUUAGUUGAACUAGUUGAAUUAACAGAAUUAGUUGAAUUAAUAGAACUAAUAAGUGUUUAAUGUUUCACCUAUGAACAUAGGAAUGUCGUGUGACGACGAACACGAUUUUAUUAUGUGCGAAUACUGCGAAGACCAGCGGGGCCCGUGCGGCAGAAAUUUUCUAGUUGAUGAUAGACGCUUCAGCAUCAAGCUAGAUGAGAACUUCGAAGUGGAUACAGUAAGUCACAACGACAAGUCUUUUUUCGUAAUUAAGCAUGACUUAUGCUUCAUUUGCUUCACCUUUUAAUUUUAAUUUUUCACUAUUCUACUAGCGUAUCCCCUGCCAUGUAAGAAUUUUUGUCUUGGAUAAGAUAGGUUUCAGUCCUAACGAAACUAUGGAGGUAAAAAGAGUUUACUUGAAGACCGAGCAUGGUUAUACCUUCAACGUCAAAUUAUACAAUGCAGACACAUACACCUAUUUUGAAUGCAAAACUUGGCAAGCACUAUGCAAGGCUUAUGCAUUUGAGCCUGAUAUGGUUAUCACCUUGAUAUUCGUCCGGAAGAUGAUAUUGAAGGUAAUAGAGACAUCUGGGUCGAUGUGCAGACGCCUCCAGUUCUAUCAUUAUGUGAGUUUCUCAACCAUAUUUAUGUCUUCGAUAUGAGAUUAUUUGAACCAGUUGAAUAAUUAAUAGAUCUCAAUUUAUAUUGACAACUUACUUCCAAUCAAGCAAACAUGUCCGGCGCUUGGUAGACAGGACCGUCCACUGUCCCGGGGCUGAACUAAACUGCGAGGAGACAAGUCAUUAUGUUUCAUGGCUUGAGGAUCUUGAUGCUGUCAAGACAAAUUCUUUCGGAGUAUCAGGGUUUCGGAUGAGAACUCAUCUGUUACACGGGCACUUCAAUGUUUUUUAAACUUAUUUGAACUCCGGACUUCUUUUGUGUUCAGUAUGCUGCAUUCAAAGUGACGUCAUCAAUUUCCAACAUGUCCUGACAUCAUUUGUUGUUUUUUGGUCAUUUACCUAAUUGUUUAGAGAGCUAAAUACCAUGAAAUUGAAAAUCACUAGAAAAUGAACUCUGAAAAUGUUGAAACUUGGCAUGGUAUCAUCAUUUCACCCGCAUAGCAUGUGCGAAAGAGUAGAGAGGGUCACGGCAAAAACUGGACGCACUUCAUGUACAAACUGGACAAACUCUUUUGGAGUAUUAGGGUUUCGGACGAGAACUCAUCUGUUACACGGGCACUUCAAUGUUUUUAAAACUUAUUUGAACUCCGGACUUCUUUUGUGUUCAGCAUGCAGCAUUCAAAGCGACAUCAUCAAUUUCCAACAUGUUCUGACAUCAUUUGUUGUUUUUCGGUCAUUUACCUAAUUGUUUAGAGAGCUAAAUGACCGUGAAAUUGAAAAUCACUACAAAAUGACUUCUGAAAAUGUUGAAACUUUGCAUGGUAUCAUCAUUUCACCCGCAUAGCAUGUGCGAAAGAGUAGAGAGGGUCACGGCAAAAACUGGACGCACUUCGUGUACAAACUGGAAAUAGAAGAAAAGAAAUAAUGCAGAAAAGAAAAAAACUAUACAAAAAAUUACUCAAAAAUAAAUAGAAGAAAAUAAAUAAUGCAGAAAAGAAAAAAACUAUAUAAAAAAUUACUCAAAAAUAAAUAGAAGAAAAUAAAUAAUGCAGAAAAGAAAAAACUAUAUAAAAAAUUUGUUGGCGCGCUCCCCAGUGGGUCUGCCAGACCUAGGGUGUGCAAAUGCAGGCCCAGAAAGGCCAGCAGACUCACAGGGCAGCGCGCCCUAGUUAGGCCCAAAAGCCUGCUAUAUAGAGAAGCUCAAAGGAGCAGCCGCGGGUGGGUUUAUAAACCAGUGCGGCUGCCCUUCGCUCGGCGAGGUGGGACUAAACAUUGUGCACCGCCGGUGGCAGCGCACAACCAUUAGUACCGGUUGGUGUCUCCAACCGAUACUAAUGAUUGGGCCUUUAGUACCGGUUUGUGGCACGAACCGGUACUAAAGGGGCCGUUUCCCGCCCCUUGGCCUGGCGAAAAUUGGCCUUUAGUACCGGUUGGUGGCUCCAACCGGUACUAAAGGCCCCUCCUAUAUGUAUGGCACUUACAAAAAAUUCAGUUUCAUCGACCACCACUUCUUCUCAAUCCAACUUCUUCGACACGCCCGUCGCCCAUCGCGCGCCGCCUUCGCCGCCCCCGCCGCCCGUCGUCGCCGUCACCGCCGUCGCCCCCNNNNNNNNNNNNNNNNNNNNNNNNNNNNNNNNNNNNNNNNNNNNNNNNNNNNNNNNNNNNNNNNNNNNNNNNNNNNNNNNNNNNNNNNNNNNNNNNNNNNNNNNNNNNNNNNNNNNNNNNNNNNNNNNNNNNNNNNNNNNNNNNNNNNNNNNNNNNNNNNNNNNNNNNNNNNNNNNNNNNNNNNNNNNNNNNNNNNNNNNNNNNNNNNNNNNNNNNNNNNNNNNNNNNNNNNNNNNNNNNNNNNNNNNNNNNNNNNNNNNNNNNNNNNNNNNNNNNNNNNNNNNNNNNNNNNNNNNNNNNNNNNNNNNNNNNNNNNNNNNNNNNNNNNNNNNNNNNNNNNNNNNNNNNNNNNNNNNNNNNNNNNNNNNNNNNNNNNNNNNNNNNNNNNNNNNNNNNNNNNNNNNNNNNNNNNNNNNNNNNNNNNNNNNNNNNNNNNNNNNNNNNNNNNNNNNNNNNNNNNNNNNNNNNNNNNNNNNNNNNNNNNNNNNNNNNNNNNNNNNNNNNNNNNNNNNNNNNNNNNNNNNNNNNNNNNNNNNNNNNNNNNNNNNNNNNNNNNNNNNNNNNNNNNNNNNNNNNNNNNNNNNNNNNNNNNNNNNNNNNNNNNNNNNNNNNNNNNNNNNNNNNNNNNNNNNNNNNNNNNNNNNNNNNNNNNNNNNNNNNNNNNNNNNNNNACUAGUUAGUUGAAUUAGUUCAAUUAAUUAGGUAUAUUUUUUGUAAGUGCUUAGUUGAAUUAGUUCAAUUAAUUAGUUGAACUAGUUGAAUUAACAGAAUUAGUUGAAUUAAUAGAACUAAUAAGUGUUUAAUGUUUCACCUAUGAACAUAGGAAUGUCGUGUGACGACGAACAUGAUUUUAUAAUGUGCGAAUACUGCGAAGACCAGCGCGGCCUGUGCGGCAGAAAUUUUCUAGUUGAUGAUAGACGCUUCAGCAUCAAGCUGGAUGAGAACUUCGAAGUGGAUACAGUAAGUCACAGCGACAAGUCUUUUUUCGUAAUUAAGCAUGACUUAUGCUUCAUUUGUUUCAACUUUUAAUUUUAAUUUUUCACUAUUCUACUAGUGUAUCCCCUGCCAUGCAAGAAUUUUUGUCUUGGAUAAGAUAGGUUUCAGUCCUAACGAAACUACGGAGGUAAAAAGAGUUUACUUGAAGACCGAGCAUGGUUAUACCUUCAACGUCAAAUUAUACAAUGCAGACACAUACACCUAUUUUGAAUGCAAAACUUGGCAAGCACUAUGCAAGGCUUAUGCAUUUGAGCCUGAUAUGGUUAUCACCUUUGAUAUUCGUCCGGAAGAUGAUAUUGAAGGUAACAGAGACAUCUGGGUCAAUGUGUAGACGCCUCCAGUUCUACCAUUAUGUGAGUUUCUCAACCAUAUUUAUGUCUUUGAUAUGAGAUUAUUUGAACCAGUUGAAUAAUUAAUAGAUCUCAAUUUAUAUUGACAGCUUACUUCCAAUCAAGCAAACAUGUCCGGCGCUUGGUAGACAGGACCGUCCACUGUCCCGGGGCUGAACUAAACUGCGAGGAGACAAGUCAUUAUGUUUCAUGGCUUGAGGAUCUUGAUGUUGUCAAGACAAAUUUCUUUCCUGCACUUAGAAAUGUUAGUACUCAAAAUGUGCGACCAAUAGUGUUCGUACUGAACUACGGUCACAUAUAUUUAGGAAAGAUGGUAAGAUUUCUACUAUUUCUCCUCAGUGCAUCUUUUGCAUACAUUGUUUUUUAAGCUAAACUUCAUUGCUAAGUAUGUUACUAUACGAUGUUCUUCAACAGGGACUCCCGAUGAAUGAUGUGCCUGAUUGGAUCGAGACUAAAGGUACCAUGAAUAUUGUUAGCUUACGGCCAAGAUAUCCUACAAUGCACUUUAGUGCAUUCGGGAUUUCUAAUAGCGAGGAAUGCUUAAUAGUAAAAGACUGGAGCAAAAUUGUGAACGAUCACAGAGAAGUACUAGGGGGCAGCAAUCAGAAGCGCAACCCACGAUUAGGAGACAGGUUCAUCUGCAUGCUCCAAUAUGAUGAAUCAGCAAAGCUAUACAUGUUCUAUGCUAUUUUACCCGAGAAAGAGCAGCAUGAGUGAUUAAUUAGCUAGUUCAUGCUCUUAGUACUUGUCCUCUCAUGUCCGUGUUCUUUGUCCUGAACUUAAUCUCAAAGAGUGAUUUGCUUUUGUGGUGUUAUGAACGCUUAUAACAUCAUUACCAUGUUGAACUCGAUGAUAUCUUUGCUAUGAAAACCGUUGGUGAUGAUAUAUAUGAUGCAAGAGUUUUUAUAUUAAUUAAUAUUAUGAUGAUGAUGAGUUAUUAUAUCAUUUAUGAAAGAAAUUGCAUAUUAGUUUCAACUGGAUGGAUUCUAGCUAAGUGAUCAAGUAUAUGCCAUAUCCAUAUUACCUUGAUCACUUAAGUAGGUGAUCAAGUAUAUAUAAUAUGGAUAUGACAUAUACUUGAUGACUUAGCUAGGAUCCACACGCAUCCAGUCAAACUAAUCACCUAAUGAUUUAACAACUCAUUAUAAUGUAAAACAAUCACUAAAUUAAAUUGAAAACACAAAAUUAAAGUAAAAAUAAAAAAUAAAACCAAAACACACCCAAACAUUUAGUACCGGUUGGUGUUACCAACCGGUACUAAUGUCCUAUGCGCCGACGGAGCUGGCUCGUGCCACGUGGUUGCCCUUUAGCACCGGUUCGUGCUGAACCGAUACUAAAGGGGGGGGGGGGCUUUAGUGCCUACAAUUUAGUGCCGGUUACCGAACCGGCACUAAAGGCCCUUACGAACCGGUGCUAUUGCCCGGUUCUGCACUAGUGAGUGGCUUGUUACUUAUUUCUUGUACGUAUGUUUGUUCUUGUAGUUUGUAUUUCCAACAUAUGCCCUUUGUGUUGGUGUUUAUAUAACCAUGGCCAGACCAUGAAGGGUCAGUCCCCCCCUUUCUAUUUUUUGAUGGAGAUAAUUAGUAUCUAAAUAAACCAUUGUAUAUCCUAUGGAUAACUUGCUAUUAAACUUUUAUUGAAUUCUAACCUUAAAAUAUAUUAGCAUUUUGAAAUGACAUACAUAGAGAACAUUAAAACGUAUCUUUCUUUUGUAGGGUACAUUAGAAUGUAUCGCGGAUCCAGCCCAGCUGGCCGCUCGGGCUUGAUGUCGCUUGAAGCUACGUCGGUAUUUCCCCAAAGAGGAAGGGAUGAUGCAGCAUAUCGGUGGUAGGUAUUUCCCUCAGAUAUGAAACCAAGGUUAUCGAACCAGUAAGAGAACCAAUCAACAUAACGUAAAUAACUCCUGCACGUAGAUAAGAAAUCCUCGCAACCCGACGUGUUAAAGGGGUUGUCAAUCCCUUCCGGGGUACGGCGCCUCAAGAUAGGUAAAUGAACGUGAGAUAAAAUUGUAGUAGAUUGAAAGAUAGAUCGUAAAUAAAAUAAAUAGAAAUAAAACACAACAAGGUAUUUUUGGUUUAAUAGAUCUGAAAAUAAAUGCAAGAAAAAAGUAGAUCGCAAAGGCAUAUAUAUGAGAAGGAAGACCCGGGGGCCGUAGGUUUCAUUAGUGGCUUCUCUCGAGAAAAAUAGCAAACGAUGGGUGAACAAAUUACUGUUGGGAAAUUGAUAGAACUUUGAAUAAUCAUGAUGAUAUCCAGGCAAUGAUCAUUAUAUAGACAUCACAUCCAAGAUUAGUAGACCGACUCCUGCCUGCAUCUACUACUAAUACUCCACACAUCGACCGCUAUCCAGCAUGCAUCUAGUGUAUUAAGUUCAUGGAGAAACGGAGUAAUGCAAUAAGAACGAUGACAUGAUGUAGACAAGAUCUAUCUAUGUGGAGAUAGACCCCAUCGUUUUAUCCUUAGUAGUAAUGAUACAUACGUGUUGUUUCCCUUUCUGUCACUAGGAUCAAGCACCGUAAGAUCGAACCCACUACAAAGCACCUCUUCCCAUUGCAAGAUAAAUAGAUCAAGUUGGCCAAACAAAACCCAAAUAUCAAAGAAGAAAUAUGAGGCUAUACGCAAUCAUGCAUAUAAGAGAUCAAAGAAACUCAAAUAACUUCCAUGGAUAUAAAAAGAUAGAUCUGAUCAUAAACUCAAAGUUCAUCGAUCCCACAAACACACCGCAAAAGAGUUACAUUAUAUGGAUCUCCAAGAGACCAUUGUAUUGAGAAUCCAGCGAGAGAGAGGAAGCUAUCUAGCUACUAAUUACGGACCUAAAGGUCUACAAAGAACUACUCACACAUCAUCGGAGAGGCACCAAUGGAGGUGGUGAACCCCAUCCGAGAUGGUGUCUAGAUUGGAUCUGGUGGUUCUGGACUCUGCGGCGGCUGGAUGAAUAUUUCGUCAACUCCCCAAGGGUUCUGGAAAUAUUGGGGUAUUUAUAGAGCAAAGAGGCGGUCCGGGGGGCACCCGAGGUGGGCACAACCCAACCCACCAGGGCGUGCCUGGGCCUCCUGGCGCGCCCUGGUGGGUUGUGCCCCCCUCGGGGCACCCCCUAGGCACAGCUAGGGCCUGUUGUAUUCCUUCUGGCCCAUAAAAAUUCUCCAUGGAGUUUCGUGGCAUUUGGACUCCAUCUGGUAUUGAUUUCCUGUGAUGUAAAAAACAUAGAAAAAACAGCAACUGGCACUUGGCACUAUGUCAAUAGGUUAGUACCAAAAAAUGAUAUAAAAUAACUAGAAAAUGAUUAUAAAAUAUCCAAGAUUGAUAAUAUAACAGCAUGAAACAAUCAAAAAUAAUAGAUACGUUGGAGACGUAUCAGCAUCCCCAAGCUUAACUCCUACUCGUCGUCGAGUAGGUAAGUGAUAAAAACAGAAUUUUGAUGUGGAAUGUUGCCUAACAUGUCAUAUCAUAUUUCUUUUCUUUAUAGCAUGGACAAUUGGACUUUUAUGUGAUUCAAAGCAAUAGUCUAGUUUUGACAUAAUAAUUUAGAUACUCGAGCAUAUCAACAAGCAACCAUGUCUUUCAAAAUAUCAACGCUAAAAUAAGUUAUCCCUAGCCCAUCAUGCUCGACCAUUGAUCCAUUCAUGAAACACACUUGAAUAUUAGCUACACCUAAUACUUAAGUACAAUCAUAUUGUCUCAUAGUUGGUGCUUUUAUAAGAGAAGGUGGAGAGUCGAAAUAAAAAUUACAUAAAGUAAAAGAAAGGACCUUCGCGGAGUGAAGUAGGGAUUUGUAGAGGUGCCAGAGCUCAAAGCGAAAAAAGUAGAGAUAAAAUAUUUUGGGAGGUGUAUCCAUCCCACCAACGAAAACGACUUAGAGUUCCCAACACUUUCCAUGCUAGAUAUAUCAUAGGCGGUUCCCAAACAGAAAAUAAAGUUUAUUCCCUUUUCCACCAUACUUUCACUUUACAUGGCUAACCGUAUCCACGGGUGCCCUCCUUACCAACGCUUUUCAAGGAAUUUAUUAUUUGACAACAUAAAGUAAAUUCAUUUUUUUUUUGCAUUUCGGGACUAGGCAUCCCUAAUACUUUUGUCUUACUCUCGUGCAAUGACAAGUGAAUAAACACUCAUUGUGAGAAUAACACAUCUAGCAUGGAAAAAAUUAGCCACCACUCACCGCUCCGCGAGCGAAACAAACACACAAAAGAGAAUUUUAUUUUAAAAAUUAGAGAUGGCACAUGCAAAUUUGCUUAGAACAACAAAAGAAUACCGCAUAUAGGUAGAUAUAGUGGACACAUGUGGCAAAACUGGUUUAAAGGAUUUUGGAUGCACAAGUAGAGAUCAUACUUGGUGCAAAAUGAAGGCUAACAAAAGAUUGAAAAGCGACCAACCAAGAAACGGAUAAUCUCAUAAGCAAGCAUUAAGCAUAAAUAACAGCGAACAAUGCACCACAAGUAGGAUAUAAUUUCAUUGUAUGACUAUUGACUUUCGUACUUGCAUAGGGAAUCACAAACCUUAACACCAAUAUUCUUACUAAAGCAUAAUUACUCAUCAACAUAACUCACAUAUCACAUCAUCAUAUCUCAAAACUAUUACUAAGAGUCUAGUUUAUUUUGUCCAAUGAUCUUCAUGGAAGUUUUUAUUAUAUCCUUCUUGAAGGGUGUGCACACUCAAAAAUAUCUCCAUAAUCCAAAUGUCAUAGUAUGAUAUUUGGCAAAAGCAUAACAUAAGUAGGUCAAUCAAGUCUCACAACAAAGCGGCGGCGACGGCGCAGGGGAGGGGAGCGACGCCGCGAUGGCGAGCACCUAUUGGGCCCUUGAGCGGAGGGGGCGGCGGCGACGAGAGGAAGGGAGUGGCGGCGAGGUGAGGGGAGGGUCUAGUUGAAAGGUGGACGGCCGAUUAAGGUCAUCCUCUCUUACAUAGUGUGAUGAAAUAGACAGUGCGGGAUAUUGGGUUUUUAGGACUGUAGGUUUAUUGGACGAAAUAGUCAAAUUACAAAUUCUGUGUGAGCCACGACUCACCGGUCCGCCAAUGGUACUAACCCCGCGAUGUGCCCACAUAUUUUUUUUUCAAGAAUGAGGUGAACUCACAUAUCAUAAUCCUUGUGUGUCGCAUGGUCCAAUAAGUCAUACAGUGAAUCGUGCUGAAUUGGGAUCGAACAAGCAACACCGUCCUAGUUGGCGGUCGGCUUAUCACUAGACUAUAAGUAGAGUGUUGUGAACAUUUUGGGACGGAAACUCUUUAUAUGUUUUCUAAACUAAAUUUUUCCACAAAUUCAACUUUUAAUUUUAAAAAGUUUGAAAAUCCGGAAUUUUUACAUUUUUAAAGAACAAAAAUCCCUUCUUCAAAGGGAAUUUUUUUCUACCUUUCCAUCUGCAUUUUUUAUUUAUAGGUACCAUGCCACUUUUAUUAUAGGUCACAUGGCAGUUUUUUUAUUAAUACGAUAUUUGCAAUUUAAUAAGUAAUAGGAUGCCAUUUUUUAUCAUUAAGAGCAUGGCAUUUUAUUAAUAGUACCAUGGCAUUUUUAUUAUUAGAAAGAUAGCAUUUUUAUUAUUAAUUAGAUGUUAGUUUUAUUAUUGGGGACAUGGGAUUUUCAUUAUUUGUUGACAUGUUAUUUUUAUUAUCAGGAGGAUGGCAGUUUAAUUAUUAACAUGAUGAAAGUUUUUAUUAUAUAGAGAAUGUCAUUUUUUCAUUAUUGACAUGACAUUUUUAUUAUUAGGAGGAUUACAAUUUUAUUAUAUAGAGCAUGGCAUUUUAUUAUUAUUAUUGACAUGUCAUUUCUAUUGUUAGAAGGAUGACAUUUUUUGGACUAGCAUUUUUUAUUAAUUGUUACGAGAAUGAUAGUUUUAUUAUUAGGAGGAUGGUAGUUUUUAUUUUGAAUUGCAUGGCAUUUUUGUCAUUGAUAUGACAGAUUUUUAAUAUUUUUUUGCACAGUGGAACAAAUCAAGCAAAAAAAUUACAUCGUAGCAAUUUUUUGGUCCUUGACAAAGAUAAAGGAAACCACGCGCUCCCAAACAUGUUAUUUUUUACUGCGGAACAUCUAUAGGGUGGAAUUCAUAACAUUUGUAAAAUUAUAGAUUAUCAUGGCAUUUUUUGUAAAGUAACAUGACAUUUUUCGUAUUAUUCAUAUCAUGGCAAUUAUAUAUUUACGUGUACUCCAUUUUCAUAAGAAAAAUAUGUUCUUCCAUUAAAAAAUGUAAUCCGGGCAUUUUGGGCCAAUGGAGGUUCACCUUGGCCUUUCCCUGGAAACGAUCGAGGGGAGGGUGUUACGUUCGCUGGGACUGCCCCCUUGGUGACCACUUUGUUCGAUCAACUCUCUUCCCUGGCGAUCGAACACCAGUUAUUCAGGUCCUUUAUUAGUUUAUUUAUAGGUAGUGUAGGGAAGAGAACAAUGGCACAUGGAAACUAUAGGCCAAACGUUCGCUUUUUGGUAUUAACAAGCGAAAACUCGCAAGCCGGCAAAUAGGGGAAGGACGAAGAGAAAGAAGUAGGAAGGGAGAGGUGGACUAAAGGUGUACAGCCCAGAGCUACCCGGUCAUUUUUUUGCGAAUUGCUUGGUAAAAAAAUAGCGUUGAAUAGUUGCCUAGGUGUGUGUUUGGAUUAAGUUUUUGUAGAACUUGGGUUGGAUUAUUUGAUCACUACCACAAAGAAAAUAUUAUUUGGUCGCUAGGAAUGAAUCAUUUAUUACAAACUACAUGUUUUUUGAGCUAACUAGGGAAACCGACAUAUAGGCCAUAUGUUUAGGACGUUGGCAUGGGGAGUUCUUAUUAGACGCAUUCUGCGUCAAACAGCCGCGCGACGCAUGCACGGAACCCCCGGCAGGGCUGGCUCAAUAACGGGCGCGCUGCGAUGUUAAUGUUAAAAAAAUAGCAAGCAUGCACGCUGUCCUGCCAAGAUUCGACCUCUGGACCUCCAUAUUGCGUACGAGAGAAGCUAACCGCCAGACAUAACAAGCUCCCCUAAAAAAAAGACAUAACAAUUGUUGGUGCUAAAUGUAAAGCGUGCUAGUAUAAGUACUAAUACCAAUGAAGAAUCUGGACAGUUUUUUGAAUUUUGUCAACCUUUCCUUCGAAAUUGUUAUUUUUUUAACAAACGAGCAAAGUUUCAAAAUACGAUAUUUUUUUCACAACUCAGACCUGUUUUCAAAUUUCAAAAAAUAAAACAAAAGACGUGAACAUUUGUCAACAGAUUUAUUUUUAUAUUCCCGAACAUUUGCCGAAAACCCGUACAUUUAUAGAAUUUUGAGAACAAAAUUUGAUAAUGGGAACAAUUUUCAAAAGCACAAACUGUUUCUGGGAAAAAAGGAACAAAAUUGAAAGCAAGAACAUUAUAUGAAAUUGCGAACAAUAUUUGAAAAAAUGUGAACACUUUAAAAUUUGCGAACAUUUUUUUAAAUAGAACAUUUUAGGAAUCUAAAAAAAGGAAAAAUAAACAGAAAAUGAAAACAUUUUAAAUUUUUUUGAACAUGCGAUCAUUUUUGAAAAACUAAAACAUAAUCUAAAACCAUUUUUUCAAAAAAUACGUCACUUUUCAAAUCGCAAACAUUUUAGGAAAUUUGGAAAAUAUUUUUGUUAUUUGUGAAUAGAUAUUGGAAAUAGAAUACUUUUUGAAUUUGUGAGCAAAAUUUGAAAACAUCAACAUUUUCUGAAAACACGAACAUUUUUUUGGAACCUCAAACAUUUUUGAAAAAAGGGGGGAAAAUGAAAACAAGAACAUUUUUCAAAACUGGGAACAAUUUUUUGAAAAUGCGAACUUUUUAGAAAACAGGAACAAAACUAAAACCACAAAAAAUUUCUGAAUUUAUGAAGAAAUGUAGAAAACAAGAUUUUUUUUUGAAUUUGCGAACAAAUUUGAAAAAGGGAACAUUUUUCAAAAUUCUAGAAAAACUUACAUGUUUCUGAAAAAAAUAAAAAUCCGUACAUUUAUUCGAACAUUUAUCUAAUGCCUGAACCUUUGUUCAAAAAGAAAAAUAAACUUGAAAAAUAAAAAGAAAAUAAAAUAGUGAACGAAGAGAAAAGAAAAAGAAAUAAGAGAUAAAAGAAGAAAAACAACAAAGAAAAACGAAAAAAUGAAAAAAAACAGAAAAAAAAAAAACGGUUCAGGAACCUGCUGGAAGGUUCCCAAAAUCAAAAAGAAUCGGCUGUUACAUCCUCGAAGUCUCCGAAAACCAGGAAUCCUGAAAACCCUUAACGGCCGGCCCACCUGGAAUGAUCGCUCGAUCGCCUGUGCGUUUUCCCGACAUUUUGCCGCAGCGAGCGGCAUAUAGGGUUUUCCAUUGGCAUGGUCGUGAACUCUCUUGUUCAACCAAAACUAGUAUUCAAAUAAAUUGAGCCCAUAAUGUGAGAGUCGGUAGUCCCGGUAUAUAUAGCCCAUUAAAAAAGUACAAUACAACAUCCGAUUCAGGCACUGAUUUUUAAUACAGCAUCCUCUCCCUUUCUGUAUUGCCUGAACCUCCUCGUAGCAUCCUCCACCUGAUGGUAGUACAAUCAGUAGGUAAAUCAUAGUAAUCUCAACGUCAUAGUUUUUCUUCUUCAGUUGAUACACUUUUGAAGCAUCUGAAUUGGUCUUUUCUGUUUGCUGCUUCGUCGGUAUACAGUAGCAUGUUCAACAGUUGUCGGCAGUAGUCGAUCUAUAUUGCUAUGUAAACUGGACUUUGUCUGCAUAAAGAAAUCCUACUUGAGGGCAGAAGACUAGAUUCUCCAAAAGAAACAAUAUCGGAUGAGUUCCCAGAUUAUAAACUAUGGGAUGAGUUCCCAAAAGAAAAUCCUACUUGUAUGUCCAUUCUAAUUUGUUUCCUUCAUGUCUACCUACAGGAUUUCUUAUUUUGAUUUGAGGCAACCGCGUGUUUUUAUUUUGGGUAAUACUCCCUCCUUCCCACAUUAUAAGAUGUUUUGGCAAGUUAAAUGGUAUGCCAAAACGUCUUAUGUGACGAAGGGAGUACACGAUUAAAUCCGAAGCUAGUGGGAGCUUGAAUUUCAUUCAUUACUGGCUUUGUGCCGAUAUUUUGCUUGGACUACUAUUUUCUACAUAUCUGAAUUUUAUAUACUUCCGGGAGUUGUCUAGUUAUGUAUCCCAAACCUUGUCUUUGCAACUUGAAGUAUUUACCAAACACUAUAGUUAAUUAAGUAAAUGAUGUAUCAAGCAUAUCAUAUUUCUGAUUCAUUGCUUCUGGUGCUCUAGUUGUUUUAUUGAUGGUUGGUGAUGCAUCUAGCUAGAUAGCUGGUUGCAGUCAGGUAAUUCCUGACCAUGUGAAAGCCCACAACUGCGUGAUGAAGUUUCUAUGGUGUUUAUGGUUCUGAAAAUAAUUGUUACACAAAUAAUUCUUUCAAUUCUUGAAAGUUCAUGCUCUUAUCAAAAGUCUUCGCGAGAUGAACUUCUGCCCAUGUGCACAUAAACUAGAGGUCUGUUUGGAUGACGCCGAAGACAGCCCCGCCAAAAUUUUGGUGGGGUAGCUAUGGGCUACAAUCCAAACAGACAGUUUUUGUAAGAUUACUAAUAUUCUGUCAAUCCAUCGUUUAUGCUUUUUAUCUUACGGGUUAGGUUUUGGAAGCUACACUCCCCAACCGCAUGAUUUGUGCUUUUUAUCCUACAUGUUUAUGUAUUUCGAUAAAAAUAUAUUACUGAUACAUCUUCAACGUAUGUAUAAUUUUUGAUUGCUCCAUGCUAUAUUAUCUACUGUUUUGGACAUUAUUGGGCUUUAUUUUCAGCUUUUAUAUUAUUUUUGGGACUAACCUAUUAACUGGAGGCCCAGUCCAGAAUUGCUGUUUUUUGCCUGUUUUAGGGUUUCGAAGAAAAGGAAUAUCAAACGGAGUCCAAACGGAAUGAAACCUUCGGGAACGUGAUUUUCUCAACGAACAAGACCCGGGAGACUUGGACCCUACGUCAAGACACAAAAGAGGAAGCCACGAGGUAGGGGGCGCGCCUACUCCCCCAGGCGCGCCCUCCAUACUCGUGGGCCCCCUGUUGCUCCCCCGACGUACUCCUUCCUCCUAUAUAUACCUACAUACCCCCAAACGAUCAGAUACGGAGCCAAAAACCUAAUUCCACUGCCGCAACUUUCUGUAUCCACAAGAUCCCAUCUUGAGGCCUGUUCCGAAGCUCCGCCGGAGGGGGCAUCGAUCACGGAGGGCUUCUACAUCAACUCCAUAGCCCCUCCGAUGAAGUGUGAGUAGUUUACCUCAAACCUACGGGUCCAUAGUUAUUAGCUAGAUGGCUUCUUCUCUCUUUUUGGAUCUCAAUACAAUGUUCUCCCCCUCUCUUGUGAAGAAAUAUUCGAUGUAAUCUUCUUUUUGCGGUGUGUUUGUUGAGAACGAUGAAUUGUGGGUUUAUGAUCAAGUCUAUCUAUGAACAAUAUUUGAAACUUCUCUGAAUUCUUUUAUGUAUGAUUGGUUAUCUUUGCAAGUCUCUUCGAAUUAUCAGUUUGGUUUGGCCUACUAGAUUGAUCUUUCUUGCAAUGGGAGAAGUGCUUAGCUUUGGAUUCAAUCUUGCGGUGUCCUUUCCCAGUGACAGUAGGGGCAGCAAGGCACGUAUUGUAUUGUUGCCAUCGAGGAUAACAAGAUGGGGUUUUCAUCAUAUUGCAUGAGUUUAUCCCUCUACAUCAUGUCAUCUUGCUUAAGGCGUUACUCUAUUUUUAACUUAAUACUCUAGAUGCAUGCUGGAUAGCGGUCGAUGAGUGGAGUAAUAGUAGUAGAUGCAGGCAGGAGUCGGUUUACUUGUCUCGGACGUGAUGCCUAUAUACAUGAUCAUACCUAGAUAUUCUCAUAACUAUGCUCAAUUCUGUCAAUUGCUCAACAGUAAUUUGUUCACCCACCGUAGAAUACUUAUGCUCUCGAGAGAAGCCACUAGUGAAACCUAUGGUCCCCGGGUCUAUCUUUAUCAUAUUAAUCUCCUACUACUUAGUUAUUUUCUUUGCUUUUUACUUUGCCUUUAUUUUACUUUGCAUCUUUAUCACAAAAAUACCAAAAAUAUUAUCUUAUCAUAUCUAUCAGAUCUCACUCUCGUAAGUGGCCGUGUAGGGAUUGACAACCCCUAUUCGUGUUGGUUGCGAGGAUUUAUUUGUUUUGUGCAGGUACGAGGGACUCGCGCGUAGCCUCCUACUGGAUUGAUACCUUGGUUCUCAAAAACUGAGGAAAAUACUUUCGCUACUUUGCUGCAUCAUCCCUUCCUCUUCGGGGAAAACCAACACAGUGCUCAAGAGGUAGCAAUUACUCUCUCCGAUCCAAAUUAGUUAUCGCUCUAAUGGAUGUAUUUAGCAUUGAAAUACAUCUCGAUAUAUCCAUUUCGGUGACAAGUAAUAUGGAUUGGAGGGAGCACUCAACCAUUUUAUUUCUUCGUUCCAUAGUCAUCUGCCUCUAUUUAGCCUCUGACCCGAUCCUUGCAAGUUAUAUCUUGUUUAAGUUCGUCAUGGUGGCACGGCUCUGCUUGCUUCGUUAAUUCUAUUAUGUCUCCGUUAAUCCCCAUAUCAAACUUUAAGGCUGACAAUAACUUUGUGACAUUGUUCUUUUUAUUGUAACUAUGGCAGAGAUGGAUAAUAGUGGCUUAGUUAUGUGUUCACUGUGUGCCUUUGUCUCUUAGCACCUACAGUGUUGGAUGACACUUUUGCAUUGAACAAUUCAGUAAACCCAACAGUAUAACCACCGCACAUGCCUUCAACAAGACAUGAAAACAUCCUCGGCAACAAUAUGAAGUGUACUACAACCAAAGCCGCUAGGACAUAAAAACUAGAGUGCGCCAUAACUGAGCCACGAAUAUCAUACAGUACAAUGUUUGCACAAUAUCAUAUGGUCUGUCACCAAAGAUAGCAAGAACAAAUUGCAGUAUUUUGAAGAAUUGUUCACAAUCAAGUUGAUCAAUACUUUAUCACUGUUUUGAGCACAUAGACAUUGAACCUGCCUUAAGAAAAAGGGUUUUCCCCCGCUUUAGAUUAUAAAGCAACAUCCAACCAAUACAACCAGUUUGCUGGGGCCGGAGCACAAACAAGCCCAAAAGAAAAAGGAGAGAAAGAAAAAAGAAACAAAUGCUGACGCCGGCAGCUCAACUAAGCAAAGAUUAUAGAACACUUUAUCCAUCAUUCGUUCGACGUUCAAUUAUGCUUUUUUUUAAUAAUACAAUUUUUUUUAUUAAUUUGCAAAAAUAUUACGCUUAAAAAAAGAAUUUUAGAAAUAAUAAACCAUCGGCCCGCUGCGGACCGACUGGGCCUAGUCAGCCCACAAUAGGCCGACUGGGUGCACUCGGCCAGUAGCAGGCCGACAGCUGGCCAGCCUGCGACGUGUCGCGCGCGGAUUGGGCAGGCCACGUCGCGAGGGGGGAGAGAGGGAGCUGUCGGCGCGGCGGUCACAGGGGAGCCCCUUUCAACUUAUCGCGGGCCGAUCGGCCAGCUGCGGGCCGAUCGGCCAGCUGCGGGCCGACAGGGUGUGGACCCAUCUCACGCGGCAUGGCCGGCUCCCUGCGUCUUCUUCCUCCUCCCACGCGAGUGUUCUUCUUCUGUUCUUUCCUUCUCCUCUCUGUACACCAAAAUGCCCCCAAUUUCUACACCUAAAUGAACCAUUUAUUUGUGGAUUUGGCACCGUGAAUGGAUUCUACUUAGUUAGGGCAACCAAAAGAGACCUCGAUCUACUGAUGGGGUAGCUCGUGGCGGUCGUGGUGAGCAUUUAGGUGGAGCUUUUUUCCAGCUCAUUGGUGGAGCUUGUUGCGGCGGUGGAGGUGGAGGUGGUGGUGGAGAAGUUGGGGCAGUGUGGUGGAGGCGGUGGAGGUGAAGCUCCGGCAGUUUGGUGGAGUUUCCCGCUCUGAUUCCGGUGAUUGAAGGCCGCCGUUCGUCAUUCGCACACACGCUUCAAGGGUAUAUUUCAACCAACAUUUUAUUUUUCAUAGGUGCUCCGGUAGUAUUUGUUAAUAUGUUUCGAUGUGAAAUAAAUUAGGUGUGUGAUUAUUGUUAGUUGCUCCGGUAGUAUACGUAAAUAUAUUUAGAUGUUAACUAAUUAGUUGUGUAAAAAUUUGUAGUUGCUCCGGUAGUAUUAGUUGCUCCGUUAAUAUUCUGUAAUAUAUAGCUAGCUAAUAUAUAGACAUGUCUAAUAUUUGUUAGUGGGGGUAUAUUAAGUUGUUGCUUAAUACUUGUAUUUCGUUGUUGAAAAAAAAUAGGUGAGCCGAGAUGUCCGAUGUAGUGAACUUCAGAUUUUGCUAUGGUCCUGGUACUGUCCAAACAACUGAGAUGGGAGCAGAUCUGAGUGAAUUUACUCAUAUAGAUGUGCCAAACAUGGUCUGUCAGUCAGUUGAAAGAAUGGAUUGCGGCAAGUUUAGGUCUUGAUACUGAAACACACACCGUCGGUGUUCAUGCAUUGUGGACACGGUCAAGUUCAAUAAUUUACUUUUAUUUGAGGCCGAUAGAGCGAGACUCCGAAUGGGUGCGGUGGUUACAAGGUUGUGAACAAAGGGGAUGCAAUCCUGUUGCUUUAGUGCUUCCCGUCGUGAAGGAGGUCACUGCACAUGAAGGCGAGGGUGGCUACGAUCCUGGUCAUAGCAGUGUAGGGAGGCAGUUAUCUAUGUCAAAUGCUGAAGAUGAUGGUUAUGAACAAGGACAGAGAAGUCAGGUAGAAGGAGGAAAUGCUUAUGGUUAUGAACCAGGGCAGAGUAGUCAGGUAGAAGGAGGAGAUGCCGAUGGUGAUUACAAUGGCGAGGUGGACGCUGACGAGGUAGAUGGGCACAUGCAGGACCAGAUGGAAGAAGAAGACAUCGAUGUUGAAAGGGGUCAUGCCGAUGAUUCUGACGAGUCAGAUGAAGAAGAAAAUGCAGAGGAGGUCCCGAAUCCUGCAUCGUGGAAUCAUGACUUCUCAUCUGCAAUGACCGUGAAUGAUGGACAUGAUUCAACCUGACAAUAUCACCAGAACAAUAUUGCGACGGGUGCUAUGUAUCCGAACAAGCAAGCCCUGAAAGAUGCAAUAAUUAACUGGGCAAUGUCCACGCAAAGGGUUUUUACAGCUCAGGUGUCCAGUCAGAAAUUCCUGACAAUGGUAUGCAAGAACGCAGAUUGUCCCGCCAAGGUGCACGGCUUUCUCCCUAAGUAUGGCACAAGUUGGGUGAUAAGUGACUUAGUUAAUCAUAGUUGUCUUAUUCCCUGCAUCCCUCAGGAUCAUGCCAACCUUUCAUCGACGCUUAUUGCUCGGUUGUUUUACGAUGAGAUAGUGCAGGCCAAAGCUAUGGAAGUGAAGGCAGUCCAGACAAAAGUCUUCGCCAGGUUCAAGUCCAUAACUUCUUAUGGAAAGGCUUGGAGGGCUAAGCAUGCGGCGCUUGAGAGGAGAUUUGGUUCUUAUUUUGAUGCAUAUGACUCUGUUGUCCAGCUCCUCCACACCCUGCAGCAGCGGAAUCCAGGCACCUAUAUCGAUAUCCAAGACAUGUUCAUGCCAGAGUUCCCAACUGUGAGGGUGUUGCAUCGUCUCUUCUUCUCUUUCGGUGUAUGCAUCGAAGCUUUCAGGCAUUGCCAACCGGUGAUAUGUGUUGACGGUACUUUUCUCACAGGCAAGUACAAGGGUCAGAUCCUGACAGCCAUUGGUCAAGACGGCCAAAAUCAAGUCGUCCCACUCGCAUUUGCUUUUGUGGAGAGUGAGAACAUUGAAAGUUGGACAUGGUUCUUCAGGCAGUUGAAAAUAUCAGUUGUGAAGGAGAAGCCCAAUGUGUGCAUCCUUCAUGACAGGCAUGCAGGUAUACUCAGUGCGAUAAGGACACUGACAAACCCAGGCCCUGAGGAACAAGUUCCAUGGCAGGACUUGCAGAGCCAUUGGUGCAUGCGCCUUCUGGGGGCUAAUUUCUUCUCGCAGUUUAGAAAUAAGAACCUGAUGAAUCUGUUCAAAAAACUCUGCAAGCAGAACCAGUUAUAGAAGUACAAUUUGAUACGCGACAGACUUAAUGUGUGCACGCAGAGACACGUGAGGGACAGGAAAGUUGCAAGAGAUGCAGCGGUGAGGGCACAUGUUGAAGCAGUAGCUGCACAGUUGGCAACAAGAACAACGGCCGUGGAGGAGGAGCCUGUUGGGCUAUGUGACCUGCCAGGCUUUGACCCACCUGGUACUAGGAGAAGGCUUGGUAGGUCGAUUAAAACCUUCGAGCAGUGGAUAGAGCAUGAGCCUCUGGAGAGAUGGUCUUUGCUACAUGACACACAUGGAACAAGGUACGGUGUCAUGACAACGAACCUCGCGGAAACAUACAACUUUGUUCGCAGAGGAAACCGGGCAUUGCCACUUACAGCCAUCGUUGAGGCUAUUUUCUAUGGCACCGUCAAGUAUUUCAGAGAUAGACGUCAAAAAGCAGAGCAACAUAUCUUCAACAACCCGAAUACACGGUACUGUGAAAGAGUCACGAAGUACAUGGACAACAAGAUGCAAAAAGCUAGGUCACACACUGUAGUCGCCAUCGGUAAUCAAGAAAGAAGGUUUGAGGUCCGCUUAGCCAACAACAAAUUUGGAUGUGCAAAUGAGUUGAGGACGCGUGAGGUGAAAAUUGGUAAUGAAGCCUGGCCAACGUGUGAGUGCACAUGCAACAAACCGAAAUUGCUUCACCUACCUUGCUCACAUGUACUUGCUGCUUGCGGGCAGCUUGGAAUGGACGCAAUAUCGUUUGUGUCUCCAUUUUUUCUGAAAGAGUCUGUCCUCAAUACCUGGACAGGUGAGCUGAUGGGUUUUCGAUCAAUGGGUAAUUUCAACAGCGUCAACCCCGCUGAAAGGCAUUACAUUCCAAACCCAGAGCAUAUGUGUACAAGUAGAGGCACACGACAGUGUCAGCGCAUCCGGAAUGAUAUGGAUGAAUCUGAAGCAGGAGGUCCGACUAGGCAAUGCAUUCUAUGCAAUGAAUUUGGCCAUAGGGACACUAAUUGUCCCACUUUCGUCACUGGGCGUGGACGAGGCAACCGGGGAAGAAGAGGAGGUAGAGGCAGUAGAGGAGUAAGGGCGAGAGGAAGAAGCUAAGCUAGCAGUAGUAUGUUCUGAAUUUGUAUUAAGUGUGGCACUAUGUUCUGAAUUUGUAUUAAGUGUGGCACUAUGUUCUGAAUUUGUAUUAAGUGUGGCACUAUGUUCUGAAUUUUUAUUAAGUGUGGCACCAUGUUCUGAAUUUUUAUUAAGUGUGACACUAUGUUAUGAAUUUGUAUUUAGUGUGGCGCUAUGUUCUGAAUUUUUAUUAAGUGUAGCACUAUGUUCUGAUUUUUUUAUGUGCAGGAAUGUCAGGAAUGUGUUGCUGAAUGGGGACAUUGAUAGGGGUCAUCGUGGUGCGAUAUGGUAUGAGCGCAAGCUUGAGCCUCUGGUCACUCGCACUCCUAAGGAAAACUGGAUGAUACACCCAGGAUGGCUUCAGCGGUACGUGCUUUAUUAAUUUGCACACUGACUGUUGGGUUUCGUAGUAAUUUCAAAAAAUUUCCUACGCACACGCAAGAUCAUGUGAUGCAUAGCAACGAGGGGGAGAGUAUUGUCUACGUACCCAACACAGACCGACUGCGGAAGCGAUGACACGACGUAGAGGAAGUAGUCGUACGUCUUCACGAUCCAACCGAUCAAGCACCGAAACUACGGCACCUCCGAGUUCGAGCACACGUUCAGCUCGAUGACGAUCCCCGGACUCCGAUCCAGCAAAGUGUCGGGGAAGAGUUCCGUCAGCACGACGGCGUGGUGACGAUCUUGAUGAACUACAGCAGCAGGGCUUCGCCUAAACUCCGCUACAGUAUUAUCGAGGAAUAUGGUGGCAGGGGGCACCGCACACGGCUAAGGAACAGAUCACGUGGAUCAACUUGUGUCAACUUGUGUGUUAUGGGGUGCCCCUGCCUCAGUAUAUAAAGGAGCCAAAGGGGGGAGGAGGCGCCGGCCAGGAGGAGGUGGCGCAGGAGGAGUCCUACUCCUACCGGGAGUAGGACUCCCCUCCAAUCCUAUUCCAACUAGGAAUCCCCAAAGGGGGAAAGAGGAGAAGGGUGGCCGGCCACCUCUCCUAGUCCUAAUAGGAGUAGGGGAAGGGGGGAGGCACGCAGCCCUGGUGGGCAGCCCUUUCACCUUUCCACUAAGGCCCAUGAAGGCCCAUAUGGCUCCCGGGGGGUUCCGGUAACCUCCCGGUAACCCGGUAAAAUCCCGAUUUCACCCGGAACACUUCCGAUGUCCAAACAUAGGCUUCCAAUAUAUCAAUCUUUAUGUCUCGACCAUUUCGAGACUCCUCGUCAUGUCCGUGAUCACAUCCGGGACUCCGAACAACCUUCGGUACAUCAAAAUGCAUAAACUCAUAAUAUAACUGUCAUCGUAACCUUAAGUGUGCGGACCCUACGGGUUCGAGAACAAUGUAGACAUGACCGAGACACGUCUCUGGUCAAUAACCAAUAGCGGGACCUGGAUGCCCAUAUUGGCUCCUACAUAUUCUACGAAGAUCUUUAUCGGUCAGACCGCAUAACAACAUAUGUUGUUCCCUUUGUCAUCGGUAUGUUACUUGCCCGAGAUUCGAUCAUCGGUAUCCAAUACCUAGUUCAAUCUCGUUACUGGCAAGUCUCUUUACUCGUUCCGUAAUACAUCAUCUCACAACUAACAUAUUAGUUGUAAUGCUUGCAAGGCUUAUGUGAUGUGUGUUACCGAGAGGGCCCAGAGAUACCUCUCCGACAAUCGGAGUGACAAAUCCUAAUCUCGAAAUACGCCAACCCAACAUCGACCAUUGGAGACACCUGUAGUACUCCUUUAUAAUCACCCAGUUACGUUGUGACGUUUGGUAGUACCCAAAGUGUUCCUCCGGUAAACGGGAGUUGCAUAAUCUCAUAGUCAUAGGAACAUGUAUAAGUCAUGAAGAAAGCAAUAGCAACAUACUAAACGAUCAGGUGCUAAGCUAAUGGAAUGGGUCAUGUCAAUCAGAUCAUGCAACUAAUGAUGUGACCUCGUUAAUCAAAUAACAACUCACUGUUCAUGGUCAGGAAACAUAACCAUCUUUGAUUAACGAGCUAGUCAAGUAGAGGCAUACUAGUGACACUCUGUUUGUCUAUGUAUUCACACAUGUAUUAUGUUUCCGGUUAAUACAAUUCUAGCAUGAAUAAUAAACAUUUAUCAUGAUAUAAGGAAAUAAAUAAUAACUUUAUUAUUGCCUCUAGGGCAUAUUUCCUUUAGUCUCCCACUUGCACUAGAGUCAAUAAUCUAGUUCACAUCGCCAUGUGAUUUAACAGCAAUAGUUCACAUCACCAUGUGAUUAACACCCAUAGUUCACAUCGCUAUGUGACCAACACCCAAAGGGUUUACUAGAUUCAGUAAUCUAGUUCACAUCGCUAUGUGAUUAACACCCAAGGAGUACUAAGGUGUGAUCAUGUUUUGCUUGUGAGAGAAUCUUAGUCAACGGGUCUGCCACAUUCAGAUCCUCAUGUAUUUUGCAUAUUUCUAUGUCAACAAUGCUCUGCAUGGAGCUACUCUAGCUAAUUGCUCCCACUUUCAAUAUGUAUCUAGAUCGAGACUUAGAGUCAUCUAGAUUAGUGUUAAACUUGCAUCGGCGUAACCCUUUACGACGAACCUUUAUCCAUAAUCGAGAAACAUAUCCUUAUUCCACUAAGGACAAUUUUGACCGCUCUCCAGUGAUCUACUCCUAGAUCACUAUUGUACUCCCUUGCCAAACUCAGUGGUAUGGCAUACAAUAGAUCUGGUAUACAGCAUGGCAUACUUUAUAGAACCUAUGAUUGAGGCAUAGGGAAUGACUUUCAUUCUCUUUCUAUUUUCUGCCGUGGUCGGGCUUUGAGUCUUACUCAACUUCACACCUUGCAACACAGGCAAGAACUCCUUCUUUGACUAUUCCAUUUUGAACUAUUUCAAAAAUUUAUCAAGGUAUGUAUUCAAUCAAGCGUCUUCAUCUAUCUAUAUAGAUCUUGAUGCUCAAUGUGUAAGCAGCUUCACCAAGGUCUUUCUUUGAAAAACUUUUAUUCAAGUAUCCUUUCAUGCUUUGCAGAAUAAUUCUACAUUAUUUCCGAUCAACAAUAUGUCAUUCACAUAUACUUAUCAGAAAUGUUGUAGUGCUCUCACUCACUUUCUUGUAAAUACAGGCUUCACCGUAAGUCUGUACAAAAAAUAUAUGCUUUGAUCAACUUAUCAAAGCGUAUAUUCCAACUCCGAGAUUCUUGCACCAGUCCAUAAAUGGAUCGCUAGAGCUUGCACACUUUGUUAGCUCCCUUUGGAUCGACAAAACCUUCCGGUUGCAUCAUAUACAACUCUUCUUCCAGAAAUCCAUUCAGGAAUGCAGUUUUGACAUCCAUCUGCCAAAUUUCAUAAUCAUAAAAUGCGGCAAUUGCUAACAUGAUUCAGACAGAUUUUUAAGUAUCGAUACGAGUAAGAAAAUCUCAUCGUAUUCAACACCUUGAACUUUGUCAAAAACCUUUUUCGACAAGUCUAGCUUUGUAGAUAGUAACACUACUAUCAACGUCCGUCUUCCUCUUGAAGAUCCAUUUAUUCUUAAUGACUCACCGAUCAUCGGGCAAGUCAAUCAAAGUCUACACUUUGUUCUCAUACAUGGAUCAUAUCUCAGAUUUCAUGGCCUCAAGCCAUUUCAUGGAAUCUGGGCUCAUCAUUGCUUCCUCAUAGUUCGUAGGUUCAUCAUGGUCUAGUAACAUGACUUCCAGAACAUGAUUAUCGUACCACUCUGGUGCGGAUCUUACUCUGGAAGACCUACGAGGUUUGGUAGUAACUUGAUCUGAAGUUUGAUGAUCAUCAUCAUUAACUUCCUCACUUAUUGGUGUAGGAAUCACUGGAACUGAUUUCUGUGAUGAACUACUUUCCAAUAAGGGAGAAGGUAUAAUUACCUCAUCAAGUUCUACUCUCCUCCCACUCACUUAUUUCGAGAGAAACUCCUUCUCUGGAAAGGAUCCAUUUUAGCAACGAAUGUCUUGCCUUCGGAUCUGUGAUAGAAGGUGUACCCAACAAUUUCCUUUGGGUAUUCUAUGAAGACGCACUUCUCCGAUUUAGGUUCGAGCUUAUCAGGAUGAAACUUUUUCACAUAAGCAUCGCAGCCCCAAACUUUAAGAAACAACAGCUUAGGUUUACUGCUAAACCAUAGUUCAUACAGUGUCGUCUCAACGGAUUUAGAUGGUGCCCUAUUUUAAAACGUGAAUGCAGCUGUCUCUAAUGCAUAACCCCAAAACGAUAGUGGUAAAGAGAUAUCAUAGAUCGCACCAUAUCAAAUAAAGUGCGGUUACGACAUUCGGACACACCAUAACGAUGUGGUGUUCCAGGUGGCGUGAGCUGUGAAACUAUUCCACAUUGUUUUAAUUGAAGACCAAACUCGUAACUCAAAUAUUUGUCUCCGCGAUCAGAUCGCAGAAACUUUAUUUUCUUGUUACGAUGAUUUUUCCACUUCACUCUGAAAUUCUUUGAACCUUUCAACUAUUUCAGACUUAUGUUUCAUCAAGUAGAUAUACCCAUAUCUGCUCAAAUCAUCUUGUGAAGGUCAGAAAACAACGAUGCUUGCCACGAUCAUCAGCACUCAUUGGAUCGCAUACAUCGGUAUGUAUUAUUUCCAAUAAGUCAGUAGCUCGUUCCAUUGUUCCGGAGAACGGAGUUUUAGUCAUCUUGCCCAAAAGGCACAGUUCGCAAGCAUCAAGUGAUUCAUAAUCAAGUGAUUCCAAAAUUCCAUCAGUAUGGAGUUUCUUCAUGCGUUUUACACCAAUAUGACCUAAACGGCAGUGCUACAAACAAGUUGCACUUAUCAUUAUUAACUUUGCAUCUUUUGGUUUCAAUAUUAUGAUUAUGUGUAUCACUACGAUCGAGAUCCAACAAACUAUUUUCAUUGGGUGUGUAACCAUAUAAGGUUCUAUUCAUGUAAACAGAACAACAAUUUAUUCUCUUACUUAAAUGAAUAAUCGUAUUACAAUAAACAUGAUCAAAUCAUAUUCAUGCUCAACGCAAACACCAAAUAACACUUAUUUAGGUUCAACACUAAUCCCGAAAGUAUAGGGAGUGUGUGACGAUGAUCAUAUCAAUCUUGGAACCACUUCCAACACACAUCGUCACUUUACCCUUAACUAGUCUCUGUUUAUUCUGCAACUCCCGUUUCGAGUUACUAAUCUUAGCAACUGAACUAGUAUCAAAUACUGAGGGUUUGCGAUAAACACUAGUAAAGUACACAUCAAUAACAUGUAUAUCAAAUAUACUUAUGUUCACUUUGCCAUCCUUCUUAUCCGCCAAUCACUUGGGGUAGAUCCGCUUCCAGUGACCAGUCCCUUUGCAGUAGAAGCACUUAGUCUCAGGCUUAGGACCAGACUUGGGCUUCUUCACUUGAGCAGCAACUUGCUUGCUGUUCUUCUUGAAGUUCCCCUUCUUCCCUCUGCGCUUUUCUUGAAACUAGUGAUCUUGUCAACCAUCAACACUUGAUGUUUUUCUUGAUUUCUACCUUCGUUGAUUUCAGCAUCACGAAGAGGUUGGGAGUUGUUUCCGUUAUCCCUUUGCAUAUUAUAGUUCAUCACGAAGUUCUACUAACUUGGUGAUGGUGACUAGAGAAUUCUGUCAAUCACUAUCUUAUCUGGAAGAUUAACUCCCACUUGAUUCAAGCGAUUGUAGUACCUAGACAAUCUGAGCACAUGCUCACUAGUUGAGCGAUUCUCCUCCAUCUUUUAGCUAUAGAACUUGUUGGAGAUUUCAUAUCUCUCAACUCGGGUAUUUGCUUGAAAUAUUAACUUCAACUCCUGGAACAUCUCAUAUGGUCCAUGACGUUCAAAACGUCUUUGAAGUCCCGAUUCUAAGCCGUUUAAGCAUGGUGCACUUAAACUAUCAAGUAGUCAUCAUAUUGAGCUAGCCAAACAUUCAUAACGUCUGCAUCUGCUCCUGCAACAGGUCUGUCGCCUAGCGGUGCAUCAAGGACAUAAUUCUUCUGUGCAGCAAAUGAGGAUAAACCUCAGAUCACGGAUCCAAUCCGCAUCAUUGCUACUAACAUCUUUCAACACAAUUUUCUCUAGGAACAUAUCAAAAUAAGCAAAUGAAAGCAACAACGCGAGCUAUUGAUCUACAACAUAGAUAUGCUAAUACUACCAGGACUAAGUUCAUGAUAAAUUAAAGUUCAAUUAAUCAUAUUACUUAAGAACUCCCACUUAGAUAGACAUCCCUCUAAUCAUCUAAGUGAUCACGUGAUCCAAAUCAACUAAACCAUGUCCGAUCAUCACGUGAGAUGGAGCAGUUUCAUUGGUGAACAUCACUAUGUUGAUCAUAUCUACUAUAUGAUUCACGCUCGACCUUUCGGUCUCCGUGUUCCGAGGCCAUAUCUGUAUAUGCUUGGCUCGUCAAGUAUAACCUGAGUAUUCCGCGUGCGCAACUGUUUUGCACCCGUUGUAUUUGAACGUAGAGCCUAUCACACCCGAUCAUCACGUGGUGUCUCAGCACGAAGAACUUUCGCAACAGUGCAUACUCAGGGAGAACACUUCUUGAUAAUUUAGUGAGAGAUCAUCUUAUAAUGCUACCGUCAAUCAAAGCAAGAUAAGAUGCAUAAAAAGAUAAACAUCACAUGCAAUCAAUAUAAGUGAUAUGAUAUGGCCAUCAUCAUCUUGUGCUUGUGAUCUCCAUCUCUGAAGCACCGUCAUGAUCACCAUCGUUACCGGCGCGACACCUUGAUCUCCAUCGUAGCAUCGUUGUCGUCUCGCCAAUCUUAUGCUUCCACGACUAUCACUACCGUUUAGUAAUAAAGUAAAGCAUUACAUCGCGAUUGCAUUGCAUACAAUAAAGCGACAACCAUAUGGCUCCUGCCAGUUGCCGAUAACUUGGUUACAAAACAUGAUCAUCUCAUACAAUAAAAUUCAGCAUCAUGCCUUGACCAUAUCACAUCACAACAUGCCCUGCAAAAACAAGUUAGACAUCCUCUACUUUGUUGUUGCAUGUUUUACGUGGCUGCUACGGGCUUAAGUAAGAACCAAUCUCACCUACGCAUCAAAACCACAACGAUAGUUUGUCAAAUAGACUCCGUUUUAACCUUCGCAAGGACCGGGCGUAGCCACACUCGGUUCAACUAAAGUUGGAGAGACAGUCGCCCGCAAGCCAUCUAUGUGCAAAGCACGUCGAGGGAACCGGUCUCGCGUAAGCGUAAGCGUAAGGUUGGUCCGGGUCGUCUCGUCCAACAAUACCGCCGAACCAAAGUAUGACAUGCUGGUAGGCAGUAUGACUUGUAUCGUCCACAACUCACUUGUGUUCUACUCGUGCAUAUAACAUCAACAUAAAUAACCUAGGCUCUGAUACAACUGUUGGGUUUCGUAGUAAUUUCAAAAAAUUUCCUACGCACACGCAAGAUCAUGUGAUGCAUAGCAACGAGGGGGAGAGUAUUGUCUACGUACCCAACGCAGACCGACUACGGAAGCGAUGACACGACGUAGAGGAAGUAGUCGUACGUCUUCACGAUCCAACCGAUCAAGCACCGAAACUACGGCACCUCCGAGUUCGAGCACACGUUCAGCUCGAUGACGAUCCCCGGACUCCGAUCCAGCAAAGUGUCGGGGAAGAGUUCCGUCAGCACGACGGCGUGGUGACGAUCUUGAUGAACUACAGCAGCAGGGCUUCGCCUAAACUCCGCUACAGUAUUAUCGAGGAAUAUGGUGGCAGGGGGCACCGCACACGGCUAAGGAACAGAUCACGUGGAUCAACUUGUGUCAACUUGUGUGUUAUGGGGUGCCCCUGCCUCAGUAUAUAAAGGAGCCAAAGGGGGGAGGAGGCGCCGGCCAGGAGGAGGUGGCGCAGGAGGAGUCCUACUCCUACCGGGAGUAGGACUCCCCUCCAAUCCUAUUCCAACUAGGAAUCCCCAAAGGGGGAAAGAGGAGAAGGGUGGCCGGCCACCUCUCCUAGUCCUAAUAGGACUAGGGGAAGGGGGGAGGCGCGCAGCCCUGGUGGGCAGCCCUUUCACCUUUCCACUAAGGCCCAUGAAGGCCCAUAUGGCUCCCGGGGGGUUUCGGUAACCUCCCGGUAACCCGGUAAAAUCCCGAUUUCACCCGGAACACUUCCGAUGUCCAAACAUAGGCUUCCAAUAUAUCAAUCUUUAUGUCUCGACCAUUUCGAGACUCCUCGUCAUGUCCGUGAUCACAUCCGGGACUCCGAACAACCUUCGGUACAUCAAAAUGCAUAAACUCAUAAUAUAACUGUCAUCGUAACCUUAAGCGUGCGGACCCUACGGGUUCGAGAACAAUGUAGACAUGACCGAGACACGUCUCUGGUCAAUAACCAAUAGCGGGACCUGGAUGCCCAUAUUGGCUCCUACAUAUUCUACAAAGAUCUUUAUCGGUCAGACCGCAUAACAACAUAUGUUGUUCCCUUUGUCAUCGGUAUGUUACUUGCCCGAGAUUCGAUCAUCGGUAUCCAAUACCUAGUUCAAUCUCGUUACCAGCAAGUCUCUUUACUCGUUCCGUAAUACAUCAUCUCACAACUAACAUAUUAGUUGUAAUGCUUGCAAGGCUUAUGUGAUGUGUGUUACCGAGAGGGCCCAGAGAUACCUCUCCGACAAUCGGAGUGACAAAUCCUAAUCUCGAAAUACACCAACCCAACAUCGACCAUUGGAGACACCUGUAGUACUCCUUUAUAAUCACCCAGUUACGUUGUGACGUUUGGUAGUACCCAAAGUGUUCCUCCGGUAAACGGGAGUUGCAUAAUCUCAUAGUCAUAGGAACAUGUAUAAGUCAUGAAGAAAGCAAUAGCAACAUACUAAACGAUCAGGUGCUAAGCUAAUGGAAUGGGUCAUGUCAAUCAGAUCAUUCAACUAAUGAUGUGACCUCGUUAAUCAAAUAACAACUCAUUGUUCAUGGUCAGGAAACAUAACCAUCUUUGAUUAACGAGCUAGUCAAGUAGAGGCAUACUAGUGACACUCUGUUUGUCUAUGUAUUCACACAUGUAUUAUGUUUCCGGUUAAUACAAUUCUAGCAUGAAUAAUAAACAUUUAUCAUGAUAUAAGGAAAUAAAUAAUAACUUUAUUAUUGCCUCUAGGGCAUAUUUCCUUCACUGACANNNNNNNNNNACAUACGUUGUUCCCUUUGUCAUCGGUAUGUUACUUGCCCGAGAUUUGAUCGUCGGUAUCCAAUACCUAGUUCAAUCUCGUUACCGGCAAGUCUCUUUACUCGUUCCGUAAUACAUCAUCUCACAACUAACAUAUUAGUUGCAAUGCUUGCAAGGCUUAUGUGAUGUGUAUUACCGAGAGGGCCCAGAGAUACCUCUCCGACAAUCGGAGUGACAAAUCCUAAUCUCGAAAUACGCCAACCCAACAUCGACCAUUGGAGACACCUGUAGUACUCCUUUAUAAUCACCCAGUUACGUUGUGACGUUUGGUAGUACCCAAAGUGUUCCUCCGGUAAACGGAAGUUGCAUAAUCUCAUAGUCAUAGGAACAUGUAUAAGUCAUGAAGAAAGCAAUAGCAACAUACUAAACGAUCAGGUGCUAAGCUAAUGGAAUGGGUCAUGUCAAUCAGAUCAUUCAACUAAUGAUGUGACCUCGUUAAUCAAAUAACAACUCAUUGUUCAUGGUCAGGAAACAUAACCAUCUUUGAUUAACGAGCUAGUCAAGUAGAGGCAUACUAGUGACACUCUGUUUGUCUAUGUAUUCACACAUGUAUUAUGUUUCCGGUUAAUACAAUUCUAGCAUGAAUAAUAAACAUUUAUCAUGAUAUAAGGAAAUAAAUAAUAACUUUAUUAUUGCCUCUAGGGCAUAUUUCCUUCAGUCUCCCACUUGCACUAGAGUCAAUAAUCUAGUUCACAUCGCCAUGUGAUUUAACAGCAAUAGUUCACAUCACCAUGUGAUUAACACCCAUAGUUCACAUUGCUAUGUGACCAANNNNNNNNNNCCAACCCAACAUCGACCAUUGGAGACACCUGUAGUACUCCUUUAUAAUCACCCAGUUACGUUGUGACGUUUGGUAGUACCCAAAGUGUUCCUCCGGUAAACGGGAGUUGCAUAAUCUCAUAGUCAUAGGAACAUGUAUAAGUCAUGAAGAAAGCAAUAGCAACAUACUAAACGAUCAGGUGCUAAGCUAAUGGAAUGGGUCAUGUCAAUCAGAUCAUUCAACUAAUGAUGUGACCUCGUUAAUCAAAUAACAACUCAUUGUUCAUGGUCAGGAAACAUAACCAUCUUUGAUUAACGAGCUAGUCAAGUAGAGGCAUACUAGUGACACUCUGUUUGUCUAUGUAUUCACACAUGUAUUAUGUUUCCGGUUAAUACAAUUCUAGCAUGAAUAAUAAACAUUUAUCAUGAUAUAAGGAAAUAAAUAAUAACUUUAUUAUUGCCUCUAGGGCAUAUUUCCUUCACUGACAUGCAUAUUAAUGGGAGACACUAACUGAAAUGUUCUCUGAUGAAGGUUGAAAUGGGCCGGCCUUUUACCUUUCGCGCGUCUGGUUGAGUCUAUCCCGGGUGAGAAACGCAUCGCCAUCGACGGGUCCUUGUUGAGCUGCUUAGUGGACCGUUGGAGGCCAGAGACCCACACGUUUCACUUCCGAUGAGGAGAGAUGGCUCCUACUCUAGAGGAUGUGUCACUUUUGCUCGUACUACCAUUGGCAGGUCAUGCCAUAGGACCGUUGGACGCACCGGCUGGUUGGGAGCGAGCCCUUACACAACGUUUUCAUGGUGUUUUUCCGGAUGCUCCGGAUCCGGUAUGGGAGCAUCACGGACCUAAGUAUGAGUGGUUGCUCAAUUUCCGGGUAAUUUCCCCAACCUCUUUGAAGGAAAUAUGCCCUAGAGGCAAUAAUAAAGUUAUUAUUUAUUUCCUUAUAAUCAUGAUAAAUGUUUAUUAUUCAUGCUAGAAGUGUAUUUACCGGAAACAUAAUACAUGUGUGAAUACAUAGACAAACAAAGUGUCACUAGUAUGCCUCUACUUAACUAGCUCGUUAAUCAAAGAUGGUUAUGUUUCCUAACCAUGAACAAUGAGUUGUUAUUUGAUUAACGAGGUCACAUCAUUAGCAGAAUGAUCUGAUUGACAUGACCCAUUCCAUUAGCUUAGCACCCGAUCGUUUAGUAUGUUGCUAUUGCUUUAUCCAUGACUUAUACAUAUUCCUAUGACUAUGAGAUUAUGCAACUCCCGUUUGCCGGAGGAACACUUUGGGUACUACCAAACGUCACAACGUAACUGGGUGAUUAUAAAGGAGUACUACAGGUGUCUCCAAUGGUAGAUGUUGGGUUGGCGUAUUUCGAGAUUAGGACUUGUCACUCCGAUCGUCGGAGAGGUAUCUCUGGGCCCUCUCGGUAAUGCACAUCACUUAAGCCUUGCAAGCAUGGCAACUAAUGAGUUAGUUGCGGGAUGAUGGAUUACGGAACGAGUAAAGAGACUUGCCGGUAACGAGAUUGAACUAAGUAUUGGAUACUGACGAUCGAAUCUCGGGCAAGUAACAUACCGAUGACAAAGGGAACAACGUAUGUUGUUAUGCGGUCUGACCGAUAAAGAUCUUCGUAGAAUAUGUAGGAACCAAUAUGGGCAUCCAGGUCCCGCUAUUGGUUAUUGACCGGAGACGUGUCUCGGUCAUGUCUACAUUGUUCUCGAACCGUAGGGUCCGCACGCUUAACGUUACGAUGACAGUUAUUAUGAGUUUAUGCAUUUUGAUGUACCGAAGGUUGUUCGGAGUCCCGGAUGUGAUCACGGACAUGACGAGGAGUCUCGAAAUGGUCGAGACGUAAAGAUUGAUAUAUUGGAAGCCUAUGUUUGGACAUCGGAAGUGUUCCGGGUGAAAUCGGGAUUUUACCGGAAUACCGGGAGGGUUACCGGAACCCCCCGGGAGCCAAAUGGGCCAACAUGGGCCUUGGUGGAAAGGUGAAAGGGCUGCCCCAUGGGCUGCGCGCUUCCCCCCCUUUCCCUAGUCCUAUUAGGACUAGGGAAGGUGGCCGGCCAACCCCUCUCUCUUUCCCCACUUGGGGAGUCCUAUUUGGAAUAGGAUUGGAGGGGAGUCCUCCCGGCGGGAGUAGGACUCCUCCUAUGGCUGCCGCACCCCUCCCCCUUUGCCCCUUUAUAUACGGGGGCAGGGGGCACCUCUUCACACGCAAUUGAUCAUUGAGAUCGUUCCUUAGCCGUGUGCGGUGCCCCCUGCCACCAUAUUCUACCUCGGUCAUAUUGUUGCAGUGCUUAGGCGAAGCCCUGCGUCGGUAGUACAUCAAGAUCGUCACCACGCCGUCGUGCUGACGGAACUCUUCCUCGACGCUUUGUUGGAUCGGAGCCCGAGGAUCGUCAUCGAGCUGAACGUGUGCUAAGAACUCGGAGGUGCCGGAGUAACGGUGCUUGGAUCGGUCGGAUCGAGAAGAAGACGUAUGACUACUUCCUCUACGUUGUGUCAACGCUUCCGUUGCGAUCUACAAGGGUACGUAGAUCACACUCUCCCCUCGUUGCUAUGCAUCACCAUGAUCUUGCAUGUGCGUAGGAAAUUUUUUGAAAUUACUACGUUCCCCAACAGUGGCAUCCGAGCCUAGGUUUUAUGGUUUGAUGUUAUUUGCACGAGUAGAACACAAGUGAGUUGUGGACGAUACAAGUCAUACUGCCUACCAGCAUGUCAUACUUUGGUUCGGCGGUAUUGUUGGACGAGACGACCUGGACCAACCUUACGCGUACGCUUACGCGAGACCGGUUCCCUCGACGUGCUUUGCACAUAGAUGGCUUGCGGGCGACUGUCUCUCCAACUUUAGUUGAACCAAGUGUGGCUACGCCCGGUCCUUGAGAAGGUUAAAACGGAGUCUAUUUGACAAACUAUCGUUGUUGUUUUUGAUGCGUAGGUGAGAUAAGUUCUUACUUAAGCCCGUAGCAGCCACGUAAAACUUGCAACAACAAAGUAGAGGACGUCUAACUUGUUUUUGCAGGGCAUGUUGUGAUGUGAUAUGGUCAAGGCAUGAUGCUAAAUUUUUUUGUAUGAGAUGAUCAUGUUUUGUAACCGAGUUAUCGGCAACUGGCUGGAGCCAUAUGGUUGUCGCUUUAUUGUAUGCAAUGCAAUCGCAAUGUAAUGCUUUACUUUAUUACUAAACGAUAGUGAUAGUCGUGGAAGCAUAAGAUUGGCGAGACGACAACGAUGCUAUGACGGAGAUCAAGGUGUCACGCCGGUGACGAUGGUGAUCAUGACGGUGCUUCGGAGAUGGAGAUCACAGGCACAAGAUGAUGAUGGCCAUAUCAUAUCACUUAUAUUGAUUGCAUGUGAUGUUUAUCUUUUAUGCAUCUUAUCUUGCUUUGAUUGACGGUAGCAUUAUAAGAUGAUCUCUCACUAAAUUAUCAAGAAGUGUUCUCCCUGAGUAUGCACCGUUGCGAAAGUUCUUCGUGCUGAGACACCACGUGAUGAUCGGGUGUGAUAGGCUCUACGUUCAAAUACAACGGGUGCAAAACAGUUGCACACGCGGAAUACUCAGGUUAUACUUGACGAGCCAAGCAUAUACAGAUAUGGCCUCGGAACACGGAGACCGAAAGGUCGAGCGUGAAUCAUAUAGUGGAUAUGAUCAACAUAACGAUGUUCACCAUUGAAAACUACUCCAUCUCACGUGAUGAUCGGACAUGGUUUGGUUGAUUUGGAUCACGUGAUCACUUAGAUGACUAGAGAGAUGUCUGUCUAAGUGGGAGUUCUUAAGUAAUAUGAUUAAUUGAACUUAAAUUUAUCAUGAACUUAGUCCUGGUAGUAUUUUGCAAAUUAUGUUGUAGAUCAAUAGCUUGCAUUGUUGCUUUCAUAUGUUUAUUUUGAUAUGUUCCUAGAGAAAAUUGUGUUGAAAAUGUUAGUAGCAAUGAUGCGGAUUGGAUCCGUGAUCUGAGGUUUAUCCUCAUUGCUGCACAGAAGAAUUAUGUCCUUAAUGCACCGCUAGGUGACAGACCUAUUGCAGGAGCAGAUGUAGACGUUAUGAACAUUUAGCUAAGCUCAAUAUGAUGACUACUUGAUAGUUUAGUGCACCAUGCUUAACGGCUUAGAAUCGGGACUUCAAAGACGUUUUUGAACGUCAUGGACCAUAUAAGAUGUUCCAGGAGUUGAAGUUAAUAUUUCAAGAAAAUACCCGAGUUGAGAGAUAUGAAGUCUCCAACAAGUUCUAUAGCUUAAAGAUGGAGGAGAAUCGCUCAACUAGUGAGCAUGUGCUCAGAUUGUCUGGGUACUUCAAUCGCUUGAAUCAAGUGGGAGUUAAUCUUCCAGAUAAGAUAGUGAUUGACAGAAUUCUCUAGUCACCAUCACUAAGUUACUAGAACUUUGUGAUGAACUAUAAUAUGCAAGGGAUGACGAAAGUUAUUCCUGAGCUCUUCGCGAUGUUGAGAUUGGCGAAGGUAGAAAUCAAAAAAAAAGAGAGCAUCAAGUGUUGAUGGUUAACAAGAUCACUAGUUUCAAGAAAAAAGGCAAAGGGAAAAGAAGGGGAACUUCAAGAAGAACGGCAAGCAAGUUGCUGCUCAAGUGAAGAAACCCAAGUCUGGUCCUAAGCCUGAGACUAAGUGCUUCUACUGCAAAGAGACUAGUCACUGGAAGAGGUACUACCCCAAGUGAUUGGCGGAUAAGAAGGAUGGCAAAGUGAACAUAAGUGUAUUUGAUAUACAUGUUAUUGAUGUGUACGUUACUAGUGUUUAUAGCAACCCCUCAGUAUUUGAUACUAGUUCAGUUGCUAAGAUUAGUAACUCGAAACGGGAGUUGCAGAAUAAACAGAGACUAGUUAAGGGUGAAGUGACGAUGUGUGUUGGAAAUAGUUCCAAGAUUGAUAUGAUCAUCAUCGCACACUCCCUAUACUUUCGGGAUUAGUGUUAAACCUAAAUAAGUGUUAUUUGGUGUUUGCGUUGAGCAUGAAUAUGAUUUGAUCAUGUUUAUUGCAAUACGGUUAUUCAUGUAAGUUAGAGAAUAAUUGUUGUUCUGUUUUCAUGAAUAAAACCUUCUAUGGUCAUACACCCAAUGAAAAUGGUUUGUUGGAUCUCGAUCGUGUGAUACACACAUUCAUAAUAUUGAAGCCAAAAGAUGCAAAGUUAAUAAUGAUAGUGCAACUUAUUUGUGGCACUGCCGUUUGGGUCAUAUCGGUGUAAAGCGCAUGAAUAAACUCCAUAAAGAUGGAUUUUCAGAAUCACUUGGUUAUGAAUCAUUUGAUGCUUGCGAACCGUGCCUUUUGGGCAAGAUGACUAAAACUCCGUUCUUCGAAACAAUGGAACGAGCUACUGACUUAUUGGAAAUAAUACAUACUGAUGUAUGCAGACCAAUGAGUAUGAAGGCUCGUGGCAAGUUUCGUUAUUUUCUGACCUUCACAAGAUGAUUUGAGCAGAUAUGGGUAUAUCUACUUGAUGAAACAUAAGUCUGAAAUAGUUGAAAGGUUCAAAGAAUUUCAGAGUGAAGUGGAAAAUCAUCGUAACAAGAAAAUAAAGUUUCUGCGAUCUGAUCAUGGAGAUGAAUAUUUGAGUUACGAGUUUGGUCUUCAAUUAAAACAAUGUGGAAAAGUUUCACAGCUCACGCCACCUGGAACACCACAACAUUAUGGUGUGUCCGAACGUCGUAACCACACUUUAUUUGAUAUAGUGUGAUCUAUGAUGUCUCUUACUGAUUUACCAAUAUUGUUUUGGGGUUAUGCAUUAGAGACAGCUGCAUUCACAUUAAAAGGGCACCAUCUAAAUCCGUUGAGACGACAACAUAUGAACUGUGGUUUAGCAAGAAAACCAAGUUGUCGUUUCUUAAAGUUUGGGGCUGCGAUGCUUAUGUGAAAAAGUUUCAUCCUGAUAAGCUCGAACCCAAAUCGAAGAAGUGCAUCUUCAUAGAAUACACAAAGGAAAUAGUUGGGUACACCUUCUAUCACAGAUCUGAAGGCAAGAUAUUCGUUGCUAAAAAUGGAUCCUUUCUAGAGAAGGAGUUUCUCUCGAAAGAAGUGAGUGGGAGGAAAGUAGAACUUGAUGAGGUAAAUGUACCUGUUCUCUUAUUGGAAAGUAGUUCAUCACAGAAAUCAGUUCCUGUGACAAAUACACCAAUUAGUGAGGAAGCUAAUGAUAUUGAUCAUGAAACUUCAGAUCAAGUUACUACAGAACCUCGUAGGUCUUCCAGAGUAAGAUCCGCACCAAAGUGGUGUAGUAAUCAUGUUCUGGAAGUCAUGUUACUAGACCAUGAUGAACCUAUGAACUAUGAGGAAGCGAUGAUGAGCCCAGAUUCCGUGAAAUGGCUCGAGGCCAUAAAAUCUGAGAUAUGAUCCAUGUAUGAGAACAAAGUAUGGACUUUGAUUGACUUGCUCGAUGAUCAGCAAGCCAUGUUAAAUAAAUGGAUCUUCAAGAGGAAGACGGACAAUGAUAGUAGUAUUACUAUCUACCAAGCUCGACUUGUUGCGAAAGGUUUUCAACAAGUUCAAGGUGUUGAAUACGAUGAGAUUUUCUCACUCGUAUCGAUGCUUAAGUCUGUCUGAAUCAUGUUAGCAAUUGCCACAUUUUAUGAAAUCUGGCAAAUGGAUGUCAAAACGGCAUUCCUUAAUGGAUUUAUUAAAGAAGAGUUGUAUAUGAUGCAACCAGAAGGUUUUGUCAAUCCUAAAGGUGCUAACAAAAUGUGCAAGCUCCAGCGAUCCAUCUAUGGACUGGUGCAAGCAUCUCGGAGUUGGAAUAUACGCUUUGAUAAGUUGAUCAAAGCAUAUAGUUUUAUAUGGACUUACGAUGAAGCCUGUAUUUACAAUAAAGUGAGUGGGAGCACUACAGCCUUUCUGAUUAGUAUAUGUGAGUGACAUAUUGUUGAUCAGAAAUGAUGUAGAAUUUUUCUGCAAAGCAUAAAGGAGUGUUUUAAAGAAGUUCUUUAAAAAGAAAAGACCUCAGGAAAAGCUACUUACAUAUUGAGCAUCAAGAUCUAUUGAGAUAGAUCAAGACGCUUGAUAAGAUUUUCAAUGAGUACAUACUUUGGCAAGAUUUUGAAAUAGUUCAAAACGGAACAGUCAAAGAAAGAGUUCUUGCCUGUGUUGCAAAGGUAUGAAAUUGAGUAAGACUCAAAUCCCGACCACAGCAGAAAAUAGAAAAAGAAUGAAAAGUCAUUCCCUAUGCCUCAGUCAUAGGUUCUAUAAAGUAUGCUAUGCUAUGUACCAGACCUAUUGUAUACCUUGCUCUGAAUUUGGCAAGGGAGUACAAUAGUGACCUAGGAGUAGAUCACUGGACAUUCUUGACCAAUGUCCAGUGAUCUACUCCUAGGUCACUAGUCCUAUUAGGACUAGGGAAGGUGGCCGGCCAACCCCUCUCUCUUUCCCCACUUGGGGAGUCCUAUUUGGAAUAGGAUUGGAGGGGAGUCCUACUCCCGGCGGGAGUAGGACUCCUCCUAUGGCUGCUGCACCCCUCCCCCUUUGCCCCUUUAUAUACGGGGGCAGGGGGCACCUCUUCACACGCAAUUGAUCAUUGAGAUCGUUCCUUAGCCGUGUGCGGUGCCCCCUGCCACCAUAUUCUACCUCGGUCAUAUUGUUGCAGUGCUUAGGCGAAGCCCUGCGUCGGUAGUACAUCAAGAUCGUCACCACGCCGUCGUGCUGACGGAACUCUUCCUCGACGCUUUGCUGGAUCGGAGCCCGAGGAUCGUCAUCGAGCUGAACGUGUGCUAAGAACUCGGAGGUGCCGGAGUAACGGUGCUUGGAUCGGUCGGAUCGAGAAGAAGACGUACGACUACUUCCUCUACGUUGUGUCAACGCUUCCGUUGCGAUCUACAAGGGUACGUAGAUCACACUCUCCCCUCGUUGCUAUGCAUCACCAUGAUCUUGCGUGUGCGUAGGAAUUUUUUUGAAAUUACUACGUUCCCCAACACUCUUAUCUUCAAGUUAUCGUGCAUAUGGUUUUACAGAAAAUAACCGCGGCUAACUAAAACUUUCUCUUUGCUUAAUGCAGAUCCAAAACUUCCGGGCGCCGUUGACUGCGGAACAGAUCACUCGGAGCCUGGAGGCCUACUUAAUGUGGCUUUUCGGCAAGGUGAUGUUCACAGAGAACCAUGUCACCACUAUUAGCGCGCUCUACAUACCUAUGGCACUCGAGAUAGUGAGCGCUCAGACGGCGGAUCAGAUCAGACAGAGGAGUUGGGGUUCGGCGGUCUUAGCGGCUACAUACCGAGGUAUGUGCAACGGUUGCCAGCUUACAUCGAGAAAGCCAGCCCUUCUUGGAUGCCCUCUAUUCCUACAACUACGGUCGUGGGAGAGGUUCUCUAUAGGGCGACCAGAUGUACGUGUUCGUGAGCCUAUAGACGCCAUGUUUGAUGUUGAUGGCAUCGAUAUGCCUACUUUCGGUCUGUGUUGGACACGUCGCGAGGUAUGCACCGUGUUAUAGUUUAAUGCAACUUUUUUCUGCACAAGAGAUAGUUCGAUGCUAGCGGCUACUAACUCUUGUUUUCUGCAGAGAUGCUUUGCUAGUGAUUAGACCAGGAAGGCAUACACAACAUUGAACGAGCAGUUCGAUGCGUACACCGGGGUCAUUUGGCAGCCCUACAUGGAAGCAGCCAUAGAAGCGAGAUACCCUGGUGGUCUGUCUAUGCUAUGCACAAGGGACCGAGAUUACUGGAUGACAAAAUCAAAGAUCAUCUUCGAUGUCUUCGUCGAGGAGAUGGCACAACAGAGGGUUAUGAGGCAAUUUGGUCUUCUGCAGUUGGAGCUGCCUCCCCCUAUAGAGAACCCGGUGCCAGCACACAUCCACAGGUAUUAACCAGUUUUUCAAUAUUGCAUUAUCUUUCAUAGUACUCCAUUCGAAGCUUUAGGUAAUUGUUGAACACACACCACAAUUUUAGGACGACAAGGAAGGGCAUGACCAGGACAACUGCUGACUGGCUAGUUAGACUAGAGCCGUAUGUUAUAGAAUGGGAGACAACAAACACACAUCUAUGGCACGAGAAUCACAAUUUUGAUCUCAAUGAAUUCAAUCUCUAUUUGCGGUGCUACAUGACCGGAACACGGUUAUGCAUCGUUGAGCACUCCCACCCAGAGGAGAUACCGGAUCCUACACCGUCGGAUAUGUACCCGAGCUAUGACACUUCGGGCUCUAGGCAGUACGCGGUAAGAUAUAUUUUCUUUAAGUAAUGUUGUCACAUACUUUGACGUGCAAGAGACAUACAUUAUUAAUCGUCAUGGAAAUUUGCAGGCUACCUUGACACACGAACUCUACGAGGAUGUGACCACCUUUGGACGAUCACUGUCGUCUGGACCUCUUCUUCAACACCGUCUAGUGCUACAGCCCUUCUUGGAAUGAAUUCAGAACAAGAUACGGACUGUGUACGAGGCUAACACGUGCACCCGGAGAACCGACGUUGUUCAGCACCAGCAGCAGUAGCCGCGUCACUCCAUGCACCGACAUCAACCACGUCCACGUCUAGCACAUCAGCCGACAACCAGGCCACCCCGUCCUGACCAAUCUGGCAGUUCAACGUGGCAGCAACCACAUCACUGUAGUCCCACGUCGAGCUUCGUGUUUUCUCCACAGCCACAGCAGCAUGGUCCCUCGUCAAGCUUCGUGUUUUCCCCACAGCCACAACAACACGGUCCCUCGCCGGGCUUCGUGUUUGAGCCAGAGCAGCCGUCACAACCAGCAGGUAAGUGUCUUCAUUUUUAUUGUUUUCAAUAUUAAUUGAGGCGACCUCAUUCUUCAUGACUAUACGUUCCAUCGUGCAGGAUCCUACGGAUAUUAUGCGUCCAUGUCAGCAUCACAUGAUACGUGGGGGAGUGAUCAACAUUCCGAGGAGAACAUACAUGCUCAGAUGUCGCAGCACACCCAGUGGAUGAACAUGUAUUCGACUCCUCCACCAGGCCCCACACAGGAUACACAGCAUGGCCAGAGAGAGUCUGAAAUUCCUCCUCGUAACAUUAGGCCACCUAACAGGUUGGGAUGGUCGCCGCUUCCAGAUCCGCCUCCCCGCCAGGCCAGACGUCGUCACUGACGCUUCCAUCUGUCAGUAGAGACAUGACCAUCUACUUAUGGACGAGACUUAUGUCUAUUGAAUGUAUGAGACAAAUAACUAUGUAAUUAUGUAUGAGACAUAUGCCUACUCUAUUUUAGUACUCUGUUAUCCGAACUACAACAUCAUAUUUAGAUAGAACACAAUGCACGCAACAAGACAGUAUAAACAACUAGAUAGAACUACAUCUGAAUUAACGGUACGUAUGACUAAACUUACAACAUACAUCAUAAAAACUACAUGAAGUCAUCAUCGUCAUCCUCCGUCGAUGCAGAACUCUUGCCCUUCGAGGAUGUAGAACUCUUACCCUUGGAUGAUGCAGAACUCUUGCCCUUCGAGGAUGCAGUACUCUUGCCCUUGGACGAUGCAAAACUCUUGCUCUUUGACGAUGCAGAACCCGGAAGCGGCGGCAUGAAGAUAUCAUCUUCGUCCUCGCUCUCCUUAGUCCAUAAAAAUGGGUGCUUUUCUGCAGUCCUUCUGAAAGUUUCACUCUUCGGCUCCACUACCUUCUUCCACCUUGCAUGCAACCUAAGAAGUUCUAUACGUACCUCCUCAUAGGUCCUUUCAGGCCACCGAGACAUAUGUAAUUCGUGAGCCAACUCAUUCAUUAUGGUGUCACUACCGGUGAGUUCGUCCCAUGGAACCAUCCUAUUGUCCAUCCAGAAAUCGGUAGAUAGCCUCAGAAGAGUCCUGCUCAUCUCAGGGUGAAAACUACGAUCAAAAGGAUAAUGGGACAUCUCAACUACACUACACUGGAAUGCUUAUCCUCCUCUGUCUGAAGGGGGUUUUAUAGGUAGGGAUGAGAAAAUGGCGGGAAAGAACUACUGUGAUAUGGCGGGAAACGAUUGGCGGGAAACGGGUGGCGGAAAAGAGUUGGCGCGAACAUAUGGCGGGAAAUGGGUGGCGGGAAAGAGUUGGCGCGAACAUAUGGCGGGAAACAGGUGGCGGGAAAGAGUUGGCGCGAACAUNNNNNNNNNNNNNNNNNNNNNNNNNNNNNNNNNNNNNNNNNNNNNNNNNNNNNNNNNNNNNNNNNNNNNNNNNNNNNNNNNNNNNNNNNNNNNNNNNNNNNNNNNNNNNNNNNNNNNNNNNNNNNNNNNNNNNNNNNNNNNNNNNNNNNNNNNNNNNNNNNNNUAUAGCGGGAAACGGGUGGCGGGAAAGAGUUGGCGCGAACAUAUGGCGGGAAACGGGUGGCGGGAAAGAGUUGGCGCGAACAUAUGGCGGGAAAAUAUUGCGAGGAAAGGGUUGCGCGAAAUACGUCAUAGUUUAUAAAAAAAUCCAGGGAUCGUUCGGGACAAAAAUGGUGGCAUGCACCGGUCGGCCCAUAGCAGGCCAAUUAGUCCCUGUCGGCCCAUAGCGGGCCAAUUAGUCCCUGUCGGCCCACAGCAGGCCAAUUAGUCCCUGUCGGUCCACUACUGGCCGAGUGGACCUGAACUGGUGGCCGACAAGCCAAUCGGCCAGCAGCAAGCUGAUAGGAUCUCAGUCGGCCUGCUGUGGGCCGACUAGGUCUACUCGGCCUGCUGCGGGCCGACGGUGUAUUAUUUUUGAAAAUUAUUUUUUGGGCGUAAUAUUUGUGCAAAUUAAUAAAAAAAAUGUAUUAUUUUAAAAAAAUAGCCUCAAUUAUAGCAGCAACAAAGGCCACCAUGGUCCGGUGUGCAGUGGCCUUUUUUGAAUUCAAAAAAUGCGCAAUGAUCAAUGCAUGGCUGGUCGGAUAAAGUGUCUCAUUCACAACUUUUAAAUUUGAUACACAUCGUAGGGAAGGGGAGUUGGUUUUGGAUCUAUCCACAACAAAAUAUAGCAAACUUAGAAUAUAUAAAAUACUUAAGUUACUUGGGUUAGUUUGAAUUACAUACGUAAAGGUAUGUGCGCUUACACAAAGUGCGCAUAAAUAAAUCCCAAAAACAAGCAGAAAGAUUGAUUAGAUAGAUAAAUGGUUGUACCUGCAUGACAUGAGAAUAGAGUAGACAUCAUCACAAGAGCUACCAAGCAUAGAGCUCUUGUGUUGCUCUUGGUAAGUCCCAUAAGAAGUGGCUUGUUACUUAUUUCUUGUAUGUAUGUUUGUUCUUGUAGUUUGUAUUUUCUACAUAUGCCCUAUGUGUUGGUGUUUAUAUAACCAUGGCCAGACCAUGAAGGGUCAGUCCCCCCCCUUUCUAUUUUUGGCUGGAGAUAAUUAGUAUCUAAAUAAACCAUUGUAUAUCCUAUGGAUAAAUUGCCAUUAAACUUUUUAUUGAAUUCUAACCUUAAAAUAUAUUAGCAUUCUGAAAUGACAUAUAUAGAAAACAUUAAAAUGUAUCUUUCUUUUGUAGGGUACACUAAAAUGUAUCUUAGAGGUAAGAGCGGAUCCAGCCCAGCUGGCCACUCGGGCCCCCUCUGNNNNNNNNNNNNNNNNNNNNNNNNNNNNNNNNNNNNNNNNNNNNNNNNNNNNNNNNNNNNNNNNNNNNNNNNNNNNNNNNNNNNNNNNNNNNNNNNNNNNNNNNNNNNNNNNNNNNNNNNNNNNNNNNNNNNNNNNNNNNNNNNNNNNNNNNNNNNNNNNNNNNNNNNNNNNNNNNNNNNNNNNNNNNNNNNNNNNNNNNNNNNNNNNNNNNNNNGGCAACACAAAUGGACUGCUAUUUAAUCCUAAUGAUUGGUGAUUAGAAUUAACUUGUGUUAAAAGUAAUCUGAAAAUACAUUGUCUAUAAUCACUUGUUUCAUGAUAUUGAGAACUUUUUAAAUCUCUAUCUUGAGAUUUGAAAAAUUGAAAAUGAUAAAACUAAUUAUUUAUAGGAGAAGAGAUACUAUGAAUAAUAUGUUUUUUAGGAGAACAAGUAGGGAAAUUUAUUUUUGUAUUUCAUAAAAGGGGUGUCAUUAUAGAAAAAGAGAAAUAUAAAAACUUAAAUGACAAAAUAUUACUGCAACAACAACUGUAGCACAUGCAUAUAAACGCAUUAUCAAAAAACUCAAUACCUAGUAUAAAAGUCAACUACACUUAUUUCUCCUAGCCUAGUUAGUAAUCCAAUGCAAAACUCAGUAGUAUGUUCUCAAAUAUGAAUACAAAUUACUAACUGGGAGAGUAACUCUCACAGUUGCAUGGAAAAUCCAUCCUACCACUCGGAGGUAGUUACCCCAUAUGUCUUAUAUACUACCAUGUGAUACUAUAUAUACUACUUUAUCAUUAUAAAUAUGUUCAUAUAUUAUAUAUAACAUAUUUUAAAGUGAGUUACAUGAAAAAAUCGCAAGUUGGCUCAUGGUUUUUAUUAUAUUUAUGAAAUACAUAUAUAUUUGUACGUAAAAAAGAACAUACUCAAAAUACGAUGCAUACUACCUGAAAAGUAGUAUAUAUAAUACCUAAAUAUUCUUAUAUACUACAUACUACGCGUACAUACUCUCCGUUUUGAUAGAUACCACGUAUAACAUACAGAACUGAAGUGGUGGUAACUACCACCGGUGGUAGAUAAAAUUUGUCCUAUAUAUAUAUUUUGCAUUCUAAAAUAUGUGUUUUGGCUUUCAAACAAACAAUGUGCAUUAUAAAGCUUGUCUAAUGACAUGUCGAUGAACCUUGUUUCAUGGUAAUCAUGUCAUUACAAAGUCAUGUAUGUGCAUGAAAUUCAACACAUAUUGAAUUAUAAUUUAUACCCCUUAUAUGCUCCACUAGGGCCCCUAGGACGCCCCCAGGCACCUUUUUUAGCACCGGCGGGUAAAAAACGUCCCAGUCAGGCCCCCAAGACGUCGUUUUGCGCCGGAUUUUGCAAAAGUUAGCGUCGGCACGCCCACCCCGCACCAAGCCCGCCGGGGGCAGCUGGGGACGCCGGCAUUAGCUUUUUGCAUGCGCUGCCCCACUUGCCAGCCUCUCUCUCCCCCUCUCUCUUCUCCAGGCCCACCCACGUGCAGCACACUCCCUCUCUCCUCUCCACGCCCACACUCCCUCUCUCCCCGGUGACUUCUACUCUCCAUGUACUACGGGCGGGCGAAGCCGGAGCUCGCAGUGCGUGGCCGGGGCUGGCGAGGCCGGGGCGGGCGCUGGCCCUCGCCUCGCGAGGCGGGCCGUGGCCGGAGCAGGCAAGGCCGGGACGGGCGAGGCCGGGUAAAAGGAUCGAUAUGGUUGACUAGAGGGGGGUGAACAGGCAACUACACAUUUUUAACUUUUCUUUACCAAAUUAAACUUUGCAUCAAAAUAGGUUGUCUAGAUGUGCAACUAGGUGAGCAACCUAUAUGAUGCAAUAACAACAAGCAUACAAGCAAGCAAGAGAAGUAACACUAAAGAGCUUGCACAAGUAAAGGUGAGAGAUAACCAAGAGUGGAUUCGGUGAAGACGAGGAUGUGUUACCGAAGUUCCUUUCUUUUGAGGGGAAGUACGUCUCUGUUAGAGCGGUGUGGAGGCACAAUGCUCCCCAAGAAGCCACUAGGGCCACCGUAUUCUCCUCACGCCCUCACACAAUGUGAGAUGCCAUGAUUCCACUAUUGGUGCCCUUGAAGGCGGCAACCGGACCAUUACAAACAAGGUCGGGGCAAUCUCCACAACUUAAUCGGAGGCUACCAACAAUACCAUGAAGCUUCACCACAAUGGACUAUGGCUCCGUGGUGACCUCAACCGUCUAGGGUGCUCAAACACCCAAGAGUAACAAGAUCCGCUAGGGAUGAGUGAGGGAAUCAAAAAUCCCUUGGUGGAAGUGUAGAUCAGGGCCUUCUCAACCACUCCCGAGCAAAUCAACAAGUUUGAUUGGCUAGAGAGAUAGAUCGGGCGAAAAUGGAGCUUGGAGCAUUAAUGGAGCUUGGGCAUUAAUGGAGCUUGAGGGGGAAGAGGUAGGUCAAAAGGGAAUAAAGGGACUCCUUUUUAUAGUGGGGGCAACAAUCCAACCGUUGCCCCACCAACCAGCCCCGCACAGGGCGGUAGUACCGCUUAAGGGGGGCGGUACUACCGCUGAGCUAGCGGUACUGCUGCUCUAGCUAGCGGUAGUGCCGCGCAGAGAAGAGCAGUAGGGAUCUGGACCCAGCGCGGUACUGCCGCGGUGGUAACGGUGGUACUACUGCUCCGAAAUGGUACUACCGCCUCUACUGCCGCAACUAGUGCCGCAAAACCCGACACGAGAAAAAGAGCCCUCGAGUCGAGGCGGUAGGAGCCAGACAGCCCAGCGGUAGUACAGCUGCGGGGUCACCGGUGGUACUACCGCUGCGGAGCGGUACUGCCGCCUGUGACCCUUCGGCGGUACUACCGCUGGUAGUGCGGUACUACCGCUGGGACACAGACAAGAGAGAGAGAAGAUCUCUCCGUCGAGGCUGAGGACGAGGCGGUGGUGCCAGGCAGGCUAGCGGUAGUACUGCUGUGAAGUCACCGGCGGUACUAGCGCUGCGGAGCGGUACUGCCGCUUGUGACUCCUCAACGGUACUACCGCUGGGUUGUGCGGUACUACCGCUGGAACCCAGACAGGACACAGAAAGAGAAGAGAUCUCUCCAAUGAAGUGGAAGAGCUCUGAGGGUGAGAAGCUGAUGUGUACGUGUUGAUUCCACCCAAGCAAUACCCCAGCGGACCCCCUCUUGAUAGUACGGUGCCCUCUACGCAACUAGUCCACAGAAAGAGAAACGAAAGAGCUACACUGUCUUGAAUGACACUCCGAAGGGAAGAAAACGUCUCGUGCCAAGGAUGAAUCUGUGAACUACUCAAAGCACAUGAUUAGUCCGCAAACAUGUUGUCAUCAAUCACCAAAACUACCUCGAGAGAGAUAUGCCUCAACAAUCUCCCCCUUUUUGGUGGAUUGAUGACAACUAGGGAUUUGCACAAGGAAAAGAUAUAAAAGUAAGAAAACUAAGAACUACAAAAUAUAGACGGGCUCCCCCUGAAUGUGUGCACCUAGUUAGAGGAGCAUUUGGAAAGCAAGACACACACAUCCGGAUCAACACUCCCCCUAUAUUUUAUAGUCCAACAAUUCUAAGAACAUGAUAUAUGAGAGAAGAGUAUAAAAUAGGACAAGCAUGCAACUCAUAAUAUACUACAGUACUGAAUAGACAUAAGUAAUAAGGUAGCGAUAGGGAGCAUAUGUCUCACACCAUAUGUCUAGAACUUAGGUCUCACAGGCACCAAACCAAACCAAACAAAGACAACAAGAGAACACACAAGAAAACACAAGACGACACAAAGACACACUUGAAGCACGACAACAACACAAAUCCCUACACUCUCUCCCCCUUUGGCAUCGAGACACCAAAAGGGCAAAGAGCAACGCUACGACUCCAGGUGAUGGCAAGCUGAGGAUCUCGAACAUCACAUCUUAGCAUGAUCGUCUGCAUCUCCGUCGUUGGUCGGAAACUGCUCGGCGUCGGAGCCGGUCCAAGGGCAAUGCUGAUGAAUCCAUUCCUCCUCUUCAGUGAUCUGUCUCUCAGAACCACUGGCAACUCUCGCUCCCAGGUGACGCAUGAGCUCCUUGUGGCUCACCCUGGCAUGCUUCUCUGCCACAUGAGUCAUGUACUGACCAUGAGACUCCAUGCAGAAAAGCUUCUUCAUCUUGCGUUUAAGCUUCUUCGCCCACGAAGGUUCUACACUAGAGGGCCCAAAGUCCUCCUCGUGAUCAUCAGUGGCAGCCCCACCCUCGGUCUCCAUGGCAGCAGCAGCAGCAGCAGACGGACCCCUGAGUUUAGGCACUGGGGUGCCCCAAUUGUCCUUCUUCCUCAGACACUUGAUCUCAUGGGAAACCAAGUCUCCAGUUUCCAGCAUCACUCUGGGAUAGAUCUGUGCCCAGGCCCUCUCAAUGAGCCUCAUGAUGAAUGGACCAUAUAUCGGGCACUUGCGCUCAGAAACGGUAGAGAGAAGUUCAGACCACAUAACAUGAGAAAUAUCCAGGCUCUCUCUAGUGUUUACUUCCUUCUCAUGUUGACAGAAAAGAAGCAUGUCCACGAGAUAUGAGUGGACCAUAUCCAGAUUCCCGAUGCAAGGGGAGAGAGUCUCACGAAAGACACGAUGAAGAAUGUCCAGAUACGGAGACAGCUCAUAGGUUUCCUUCUUAGUCACUGGGUGAACCUUCACAGUGCAGUAGGGCCAAAGGGCUUGCUUGUGAGUGGAUGUAGUAUUGCGGUGAGGGCGGAAACCUACUGAAGUCUCAAGCCCGCGAUCUUCCACAUCAAGUAACUCCAUGAAAGCCUUCCACUUGACGAAAAGCAACUUGCCAUUGGUCAUCCAAGUCAGAGUCCUGUUGGCAUCCGUUCCAAGAUGAACGGUAGCAAAGAAUUGAGCCACCAAAUCUGCAUCGAAAUCCUUGUUGAACUGCAUGAUCCUGAGAAUGUUCAGCUGAGUGCACAUCUGAAGGGCUUCGCCAAAGUACUCAGGGUCCUUCUCCAUGGCAUCAGUGUCGAUUGAGUGAACAUCAACAUAGAGAUUCUUCUUGGCCUUGAUCACAUCAAAAUAGAUAGCAGACUGAAAUCGGUUUCAGAAUAGGCAGUUGACCAAAGUGGGAUCUUGGUCCACCUCAUAGGGAUUGCGGCGACGCCUUUCCCGAAACUCCUUGGCAGUCAUCUCAGUCACAGUCUUUCCUUUUGACUUGUUGGCGGAUCUCUUCGACUGCUGAGGAGGUGGAGGAGCACUUGCAGAUGCACCUGCUGGUGGCGGUUGGGUGCUAGAGGAACCACCGGCUGGCUCAGAGGUGCGGUAGCGCUUUGACGUUGCACGCCCGAGGUUGAUAUGGCGAGCUUGAUGCUCAGAAUGUUCAUCACCUGGAGCCAAACACAAGAACAUGCAAAACAACUAGAAAGAACGAGCAUAAGCCAACAAACACAACAAAAGGAUCAAGGUAAGGCAGGUACAUGAUGGAACUUGGCACGACGCUCCAAAUCCUCCUCGGGGGUGAGACGAGGAGUGAUCACUUGAUUAUCUUGAGCGUCGUCUUGAGCUUGUUCUUGUUCUUGAACUUGCUCGGAGGAGAGAACUUGACCUUGGGCAUCACUUGAUGUGUCAACACUGUCUUGAGCAUGAUCUUGCCCUUGGUCAUGUUCUUGAGGACGAGGGCCUUCAUGUUGUUCUUCGGAAGCGUGUGGGCUUUGGGUUGGUGAUGACUCCACUUGAGUGGAGCAUUAUCCUUCUCCUUCGGCCACAAGGGGUUCCUCAAUGGGUAGGAUAAAACCAACACCCAUUCUUCUUAUGGCUUGAGGAGGAAUUUCAUCACCUACAUCACAAGUGCCACUUUGCUCCACUUGGGAGCCGUUAUUCUCAUCAAACUCCACGUUACAUGUCUCCUCAAUAAGUCCCGUGGAUUUAUUGAGGACACGGUAAGCAUGAGAGUUUGUAGCAUAACCAACAAAUAUGCCCUCAUAAGCUCUAGCCUCAAAUUUAGACAACCGAACACCUUUCUUGAGAAUGAAACACUUACACUCGAACACCCGAAAGUACUUGAGGUUGGGCUUGUUACCGGUGAGUAUCUCAUAUGGAGUCUUGUUCAAGCCCUUGCAGAGGUAGAGCUGAUUGGAUGCAUGACACGCGGUGUUGAUGGCUUCGGCCCAAAAGUUGUACGGAGACUUGAACUCCGCCAUCAUGGUCCUUGCCGCAUCCAUCAACGUCCGGUUCUUCCUCUCCACAACACCGUUUUGUUGAGGGGUGUAAGGUGCGGAAUAUUGAUGCUUGAUCCCCUCAUCACUAAGAAACUCAUCCAAGGUGUAGUUCUUGAACUCGGUGUCAUUGUCACUUCUUAUUGUCAAGAUCUUUGCAUCGUGUUGACGUUGUGCUUCAUUUGCAAAGUCAAUGACGGUUUGUUGGGUCUCGCUCUACCUCUUAAAGAAAUACACCCAUGUGUAUCUUGAGUAGUCAUCCACAAUCACCAAGCAAUACUUCCUACCUCCAAGACUAUCGAAGGAUGGAGGCCCAAAGAGAUCCAUGUGAAGGAGCUCCAAAGGCCUCUUUGAGUAAAUGAUAGUGAGCCUUCUCAUGUAGCUUUCCUUCGAUACAAGCACUGCAAGCACGAUCUUUAGCAAAACUAACAUUCGUUAGUCCACGGACAUGGUCCCCCUUGAGAAGACUUUGCAAAGAUCUCAUAUUGACAUGGGCUAGACGGCGAUGCCAAAGCCAUCCCACAUCAACUUUAGCCAUUAGGCAUGUCGCGGUCUUAGUGGGUCGCUCCGAAAAGUUAAUCACAUAUAGACCGUUCUCAACAUGCCCAACAAAGGCUACUUAAGAGUCUUGCUCCACAAAAGGGCCACGGUAUAGAUAUCAAAUAAAGUGUCAAAGCCCAUGAUUGCAAGUUGACGAACGGAAAGUAAAUUGUAUGCAAGGGACUCAACAAGCAUGACCUUCUCGAUCGUGAGAUCAUGAGAGAUGACCACCUUGCCAAGUCCCAAUACCUUAGAGGAUGAGGCGUCACCCCACUCAACAUUGGUGGGCAUAGAUGGAAUCUUGUGCACAUCCACCACCAAGUCCUUGCUUCCGGUCAUAUGAUUUGUAGCUCCGCUAUCAAGCAACCAUGAUCCCCCACCAGAAGCAAACACCCACAAGAGAUUAAUGCUUGGUUUUAGGUACCCAUUUUGUAAUGGGUCCUUUGAUGUUAGUAACAAGGGUCUUUGGAACCCAAAUAGACCAUUCAAUGUAUUCAUGAGGAGAACCAACAAAUUUGGCAUAGACAUGCCCAUCACUAGCACGGCAUAACACAUAUGAAGGAUUAAAGUCGCCGGCUUUGGUGCGAGGAGUGGCAUUGCCCUUUUUGACAACGCCACCCUUCUCAUUGUUCUUCUUCUUCUCCUCAGAGGCACUCUCUCCCUCCUUCACAAAGGUUUGCAUGAGAGGAUUAGGUCGUUUGGUCUUGUCAUUCUUCUUCUUGUUCUUGAAGUCGGGCACGUACCCAACCCCUUCCUUGGCCAUAACUCCCUUUUGGUUGAUCAAGAGGUCGUUGAGGUUCUUCUUGCCUUGUAUGCAAGUCGCAAGACCUCUCUCAAGUUGCCCCUUUAGCUUAGCGUUCUCCUCAAUGAGAUGCACAUGCUCACAACACGGGUUAGUAGCAUUUGCAUUAUCAAUUAACAUCAUACGAGGAAAAGUGGCUUUUUCCUUGGUUAGCUUUACUUGCAGUUGAUCAUGAGACUCUUUGAGGCUAGCAUGAGCACCCUUCAAGACCUUGUGAGCCUUGUCAAGUAGAUCAAACUCCUCUUUGAGUCUAGCAAGAUCAACCUCAAGUUCGGCCUUCUCGGAGUUUAGCACAUGAGAAACAAUGAGGACAUGAUCAUAAUCUUUCUUUAACUUAGCAUGAUCAAUGUUGUGUGACUCCUCAAGAGCCAAACGAAGACCACGCUCUUCCUCAAGAGCAUUGGAAAGAUCCGAAAUCUCAUCGGCAUAGUCACGACUAUGCUCUUCCAUCUUAGUGAUGGUGUCUUCGUGAGCCUCGAUCAUGUCAUUGGCUUCACCAAGUUGUUCCAAGAGAGCAACAAAGUGCUUCUUGGAUUUUCCCUUAAGUUUGUCCAUAAAGGCCUCAAACUCAUUUGUCUCCACAUUCGCUCCCUCAAGUUCAUUAAUGCUUUCCGUCGGAGAAGGAUGAUUAAUGAUGGUAGUUUUGAUGUUGGGGGUUACCUUGUUGGUGGCUUUAGCCAUGAGGCAUUUGGCGGUGAUGCUCUCAUUGGAUGAGUCGAAGAGGGACACCCGUGGAGUCGUAGCAAUGGCAACGGAGGACAUGGCAACCGACUCAUCACCUUCAUCAUCGUCGUCAUCCUCAUUGUACUCUUCUUGUACCACCAAUGUCUUGGGACGAGUCUUCUUGGUGAAGUUGCUCUUGUUGGGGAACGACUUGGCCUUGUCCUUUCAGAUGAGCCUGCCACCAUUGUCUUCCCUCUUCUCAUACGGGCACUCCGCAACAAAAUGACUCACGUUGCCACAAUUGUAGCAAGUCCUUACACGUUGCUUGCUCUUCGUGCCACUUGAGUUGUUCUUGUUAAAGUUUGGCCUCGAGUUUUUCUUGCUCCAAAAUUGCCUUGAAGCGAGUGCCAUGUGUUCAUGAUAUGCAUACUUCGUAUCCUCGGGGUUGCUCACCUCUUCUUCCUCUUCUUCUUCUUCAACGAAGAGCUUGGCCUUCAAUGCAAGGUUGGGCUUCUUUGCCCUUUGAGAACAAAGCACCGCAUUGUCGGCGGUCUUGUCCAAAAUGUUCAUGGCCACAAACUCAUCCAACACUUCGCUUGAGGUCAAAGUGUGGAAGUCCGGUCUUUGACGAAUGACGGAGGACAUGGCCUUGUGGUAGGGCAUCAUUGCCUUGAGGAAUUUGUGCCUGAUCCAAUUGUCAUCCGUGUCCUUGCUCCCGUGAUCUCGGAGUGAGACUGCGAGUUUGGUUACCCUCUGAUAAAGCUCACGAGGUUCUUCAUCUUCUUUCAUUGCAAACUCAUCGGCCUCAUCUUGCACCACUUCAUAGUUGGAGCGUUGAAUGCUUGCGCUUCCCCGGUAGAGGGAGACAACACAAAUCCAUGCGUCUUUGGCCAAGGCGAAGGGCCGAAGAUGAGGUAGGUCUUCGAGUGGGAUUGCAUCUUGAAUGAUGAAGAGAGCAUUCUCAUUGAGUUGAUUAUCCGUGGCUUCUCGAGGAGUGAAGUUGCUUGGAUCAUGCGGAUAGAAACCUUCUUCAAUGAUUCUCCAAAGGUUAGUGUUCACAUGAUUUAAAUGAUGUUUAAAGCGGUAAACCCAAGAAUCAAAUCCUCAUUUUUCACAAUCUUAGGGGGAGGACCGGCAUGAUUCAAAUGAUUGGAAGGAACCGGUCCACCAUAAACAAGUGGUGGUUCCACAUGAGCAAAGAUGCCGGUGCCAUUUUUACCACUAGAAGAAGGAGCCUUUUCACUACUAGCUUCCCCCUUGUCGGAGAUAGCAUCCGUCACCUUGUCGGUGGGGUCACCCACUUUCAACGGUGCGGUGGAUAGUUUAAGCCCCUCAAGAAAUUUAGUAAACAUGCUUUCAACCUCGGUCGUCAUGGAGGUUUUCAAUGUCUCCAAGGCCACAUUGAACUCCUCACGAGAGACCGAGGUUCCCCCAUCGCCCGUAGACGAGGUCGGAUUCACACCGGAGUGUUCCUCCACACCGUCUACGGUAUCAACCAUACUCUUUGGACGGUAAAGUCCUUAAUAAAGAGACGAGGCUCUGAUACCAAUUAAAAGGAUCGAUAUGGUUGACUAGAGGGGGGUGAAUAGGCAUACCAAUUUUUAACUUCUCUUUACCAAAUUAAACUUUGCAUCAAAGUAUGUUGUCUAGAUGUGCAACUAGGUGAGCAACCUAUAUGAUGCAAUAACAACAAGCAAGCAAGAGAAGUAACACUAAAGAGCUUGCACAAGUAAAGGUGAGAGAUAACCAAGAGUGGAUCCGGUGAAGACGAGGAUGUGUUACCGAAGUUCCUUCCUUUUGAGGGGAAGUACGUCUCCGUUAGAGCGGUGUGGAGGCACAAUGCUCCCCAAGAAGCCACUAGGGCCACCGUAUUCUCCUCACGCCCUCACACAAUGCGAGAUGCCGUGAUUCCACUAUUGGUGCCCUUGAAGGCGGCAACCGGACCUUUACAAACAAGGUUGGGGCAAUCUCCACAACUUAAUCGGAGGCCCCCAACAAUACCACGAAGCUUCACCACAAUGGACUAUGGCUCCGUGGUGACCUCAACCGUCUAGGGUGCUCAAACACCGAAGAGUAACAAGAUCCGCUAGGGAUGAGUGGGGGAAUCGAAAAUCCCUUGGUGGAAGUGUAGAUCGGGGCCUUCUCAACCACUCCCAAGCAAAUCAACAAGUUUGAUUGGCUAGAGAGAUAGAUCGGGCGAAAAUGGAGCUUGGAGCAUAAUGGAGCUUGAGCAUUAAUGGAGCUUGAGGGGGAAGAGGUAGGUCAAAAGGGAAGAAGGGGACCCCCUUUUAUAGUAGGGGUAACAAUCCAACCGUUGCCCCACCAACCAGCCCCGCACAGGGCGGUAGUACCGCUAAAGGGGGGCGGUACUACCGCCGAGCCAGCGGUACUGCCGCUCCAGCUAGCGGUACUACCGCGCAGAGAAGAGCGGCAGGGAUCUAGACCCAGCGCGGUACUACCGCAGUGGUAAGGGCGGUACUACCGCGGUGAUAAGGGCGGUACUACCGCUCCAAAACGGUACUACCGCCUCUACUGCUGCAACUAGUGCUGCAAAACCCGACACGAGAAAAAGAGCCCUCGAGUCGAGGCGGUAGGAGCCAGACAGCCCAACGGUAGUACAGCUGCGGGGUCACCGGCGGUACUACUGCUGCGGAGCGGUACUGCCGCCUGUGACCCUUCGGCGGUACUACCACUGGUAGUGCGGUACUACCGCUGGGACACAGAAAAGAGAGAGAGAUCUCUCCGUUGAGGCUGAGGACGAGGCGGUGGUGCCAGGCAGGCCAGUGGUAGUACUGCUGUGGAGUCACCGGCGGUACUACCGCUGCGGAGCGGUACUGCCACUUGUGGCUCCUCAAUGAUACUACCACUAGGUUGCGCGGUACUACCGCUGGAACCCAAACAGGACACAGAAAGAGAAGAGAUCUCUCUCCAAUGAAGUGGAAGAGCUCUGAGGGUGAGAAGCUGAUGUGUACGUGUUGAUUUCACCCAAGCAAUACCCCAGCGGACCCCCUCUUGAUAGUACGGUGCACUCUACGCAACUAGUCCACCGAAAGAGAAACGAAAGAGCUACACCGUCUUGAAUGACACUCCAAAGGGAAGAAAACGUCUCGUGCCAAGGAUGAAUCUGUGAACUACUCAAAGCACAUGAUUAGUCUGCAAACAUGUUGUCAUCAAUCACCAAAACUACCUCGAGAGAGAUAUGCCUCAACACCGGGGCUGGCGAGGCCGAAGCGGGCAAGGCCGGGGUGGAGGAAGAGCGCGCGUGGCCGGGGCAGAGGUGGAGUGGCGCGGAGCGGCCGGGGCAGAGGCGGAGCGUGCG
RNAcentral lists this long non-coding RNA (79273 nucleotides) under Triticum aestivum (bread wheat). RNAcentral describes it as "long non-coding RNA (TAES_LNC025049)". The record is from RNAcentral. Lineage: Eukaryota; Viridiplantae; Streptophyta; Magnoliopsida; Poales; Poaceae.